UGUGUUUGAGGUAGAACUUGCCUAUGAAGGACGUCCAGAAAGAGUGUUUGUAGGACAAUUCCAUAAUAAAGAUAUUGAAGUUUAUGCUUAGUCACAAAUAAAAGGCUUGGAGUACUAUCGAUGGCUACAAGGGCCUAUGAACAAUUUAGCUCACAAAAAAAAACUGAAAUAUAUAACAGCCACCAUGUGACAGAUCUUUAAUUUCUUGUUCAUAUACUAGCUUGCUGCAACAUUACUUCUCAGAGACCUUGAAGCUAGAAGAAGAGUUGAUGUCACGGACAUACAAGUGAAGAAGAUUCGAGAAGGUUCUAGAAGGUACCAAUAGGUUCUAAAAAGAUUCUUGAAGGUUUAAGGAGAUUUUAGAAGGUUCCAAUAGAUUCUAAGAAAGUUCUAGAAGGUCAUAGGAGGUCCUAAAAGAUUUUAAGAGGCUUUAGAUGAUUUAGGAAGUUGUUGAAGAAGGAGCUUAGCCUUGCUUUGUUUUUAAGCCUCAUAAAAACUUUUCAAGCAGCUUCCUAAGACCUAGUAUAUAUAGGAGUUAAGGUUGAGGCAUCCUCAAUCUCGACAACUCACUUCUUGUAGUCAAGCCAGGACCUUCUUGCUUUGUAUCUAGUUGUUGUUUUAAUGUCAAGUUAACUCCAUUAGUUGAACUUAAAUCCUUGUCUUGUAUAUGGUUCCUAACAAGUUUGCUUCUUUCUUUCAUUCAUUAGCUGUAUUACAUCACAUUAAUGUUAGAUAUUAAUUCUAAGAGUAUUGACAAGCUUAUAAAGAUUUGUAAUAGUUAGAAAUGUAUUCUCACUUCUAUCAAGAGAAGCAUCUAUAAAUUUUCCUUCUAUGGAUAAUUCAAAUAAACUCACAAGUCAAAUUAGAAGAAGAUAAUCUACAACUUCUAAUACCAAAUCAAAAUUUCUAUAAAAAAAAAAUAGUCCACUCUCUUUAAAAAAAAAUCAAUGUUAGAUAUUUAAAUUGAUAAUUUAAAAGUGGGUAGUCUACAAUCUUCAAAACACAACAAUAAAAAUGAAAUAAAUUACUUAGUUCUAAAAAAAAUAAGAAUAAUGAAAUAACACUCUUAUCAAAUUAUCAAAGGCAUCAAUCUCAUGGAAAAAAAAAAUUCAAUACAUUCUUGUGUCACUCAAAAAGAGUAGAUAUUUAUUCAAAAUUAAUAUAGUAAUGAAACUAGAAUAGCUAUUGCCAAAGACAAAAGGUGUUAGGGACAUAUUCCUUAGAACUUUCUAGAGAGAAGUUUCUAGAACCUUCUAGAAAACAAGCCUCUGGAACCUUCUAGAAGAGAACCCUCUGGAACCUUUUAGAGAGAAGUUUCUAGAAGCUUCUAGAAAAGAAGUCUCUGGAACCUUCUAGAAGAGAAGUUUCUAGAAGCUUCUAGAAAGGAAUCCCUUGGAACUUUCUAGAAGCUUCCUAGUUAAUAGAAGUAGCUCAAGAAGUUUCUAGAACCUUCUAGAAAAGAAGCCUCUGGAACCUUCUAGAAGCUUUCUAGUUAAUAGAAGUAGCUUGAGAAGCUUCCUAAGUAGGAGUAUAUAUAGGGAUCGAGGCUGAAGAAUUCUUCAGUCUCGACAACACAUCUCUUGGAGUUCUAGCUCACCUUUCUGGUGUUGUUCUUGUACUCAUCUGUUUAAUCUAGUUUUGCUACUUCUUCUUGAACUUCUUGUUAGAUUUCAAGUCUGUAUUUUGUGUCCGUGACAGUUUGUCGAGACUACACUAACUUGAGAUAUCAGAGCUAGUUCUUUCUUAGUAGAGUGUAGAUUACCCCUCUACUUGAAGGUAUACUAGUAUUUUUUAGAGGUUGCAGAUUACCCUCCUCUAAACUGAUACUUCUUUUGUUACAAUAUUGGAGUCUUAUUCUUCUUGGAGAGAGUGGAUUACCUCUCUUCUUGAAAUUCUUAAGGCAUUUUAUAGGUUGUGGAUUACCCUCCUAUAAACCAAUAUUGCCUCUUAUAGGGUCAUUUUUGUCCUUCUUUUAGAAUGGCCGGAGGUCAAGACAUUAGUAUGACAGAAAGUUCGGAGUCUAAGUUAGAUGCUAUUAUGAAUGCCCUCGCUACAUUAUCACAAAGAACUGCAGAGAUUGAAGGAGUGGUGGCAAGGCUUCAUAAUGAUGGAGUAUCUGGGAUAGCACAAUCUAAACUACACCAGCCUCAAAUUUCGGCACUUGGAGAAACAACUUUACCUCAGGUUCGACAAGAACCACUAGUUCUACAACAUAAGGAGCCUCGAGUUAGCCUUCCAGAUAAGUUUGAUGGAACACGUUCCAAGUUUCGAGGAUUCGUCAAUCAAAUCAGGUUGAUAACAGUUUUACAGCCUGAACGAUAUCCAACGGAGGAGUCACGUGUUGGGCUUGUUGGAACCUUACUUACGGGACAAGCUCUAUCAUGGUUUGCUCCUUUGUUUGAGAAACGAUCAUCCAUAUUAAACAACUUCGAAACCUUUUUGGAAGCAUUUGCAGAAGCAUUUGGUGAAUACGAUAAGGUUCGAUGGGCUACAACAAAGAUCCGGUCGCUACGACAAGGGAUGCGUUCUACAUCAAUCUAUGCUUCGAAUUUCAGGUAAUUAGUAUGCGACAUCAAUUGGGAUGAAGAAGCGUUGAUGAGUCAAUUCUAUUGGGGUUUAAGAGAUGAUGUGAAGGAUUUGCUGUUAACUCUUCCUGAUCCACGAACGCUCAAUGAAGCCAUUAGCCAAGCUGUGAAGUGCGAUAAUCGCCUAUUCCAACGUCGCCAAGAUCAACGCUCAAGACAACAUACAAUUCGCCAUGCUCCAACUAUGUCGGCAAGCAGUGUGAAUUCGCAUUCAAAGGUGGAAGACAUGCAAAUUGAUGCGAUACAUAUCAAAUCUCUUACUAUAGAAGAAAAAAAGUGACGUAUGGAGGAAAAUUUAUGCUUGUAUUGCGGUGGAGAAGGCUACAAAGUCGAAAACUGUCUCAAAAAGCAAAAUCGAGGUAUAGUCAAGACUAGGGGAGUAUUUGUUCAGGAAAACGAGGAUGCCCAGCCACAGUAGGAACUGUGCCGUUGGACAAUGAAAUAUCCCAACAACAAUCAGGUUCCUUUCUUUCUGCCCAACCUGCACUUUGUUUUACAAUCCCUCUGUUUAUCGGCCCUCAAAAACUGAGAACCUUAGCACUACUAGACUCAGGAGCAUCUGCUUGUUUUUUAGACGAAGAAUUUGCAAAGCGUCAUAAGAUCCCUUUAGUACAAAAAUCAAAACCUAUUCAUGUUGAGGUCAUAGAUGGGCGACCUUUAUUGUCUGGUAGCAUCACCCAUGAAUCAAAACCUAUAGAAGUAACGUUUAAAGACCAUAGUAGUCAUAUUAUUUUUAAUAUUAUUAGAAUCCCAUCAAAUCCUAUUAUUCUUGGUCUUUCUUGGUUGGAAAAACAUAAUCCAUUGAUAGAUUGGAGGUUGCGGAAGAUGACUUUUCCCACAAAACCACCCAAGAAAAAACCUAGUAAAAAACCUCGAAAAAAGAAAUCCUUAGUCAUUAGAGCAAGAGCGUUUAUAAGAUCAUCUAAGGAAGGCACUCCAUUUGUCAUUUAUGCGGCUCCAACUACCGAGGAGAAGAUCUCAACAGCAAGUAUACCGGAGCAAUAUAAAGAUUUUGAAGACGUGUUUCAAAAGAAGAACGGCGACAUACUACCGGAACACCGACCAUAUGAUUGUGCCAUAGACUUGCAAGAAGGAGCACAACCACCUUUUGGCCCAAUCUACAAUCUAUCGCAAACGGAGUUGGCAGAGUUACGAAAGUACAUUGACGAAAAUCUAGCCAAGAACUUCAUUCGUCAUUCAAAAUCAUCAGCUGGAGCAUCCAUCUUAUUUGUGAAGAAGAAAGAUGGAUCAUUACGGAUGUGUAUGGACUAUCGAGGCCUCAACAAGGUAACAAAGAAAAAUUGUUAUCCAUUACCCUUGAUUUCUAGUCUCUUAGAACAACUUGGACGUGCGAAGAUCUUUACAAAAAUUGAUCUAAGGGGAGCUUAUAAUCUCAUACGAAUCAAGGAAGGAGAUGAGUGGAAGACAGCAUUCCGUACAAGGUAUGGUCAUUUCGAAUAUAAUGUCAUGCCUUUUGGUCUUACCAAUGCUCCAGCGGUUUUCCAACAUAUGAUGAAUGACAUCUUUCGAGAACACCUCGACGAUUUUGUUGUCAUCUACUUGGACGAUAUUCUAAUAUUCUCUAAAAACGAGGAAGAGUAUGAGGAGCAUGUUCGUUUGGUCUUGGAGAAACUACGCAAGCGAGGACUAUAUGCCAAAUUAGAAAAGUGUUUAUUUUACUAGACAGAGAUGGAAUUUUUGGGGUUCAUUGCGACUACAGAAGGUUUGAAGAUGGACCCCAAGAAAGUAGAAGCAAUCAUGUCUUGGGAGGUUCCGAAGACGGUUAGAGACGUACAAUGCUUUCUUGGUUUUGCUAACUUCUAUCAGAUCUUCAUCAAGAAUUAUUCUCAAGUUGCUGCUCCUCUCACUCGAUUAACAUGCAAGGAUAAGUUGGAAUGGGGACCUUUGGCGGAGAAGGCGUUUCAAGAUUUGAAGACAGCAUUUACUACAGCUCCAAUUUUGGUACAUCCAGACUUUACAAAUGCCUUCUAUUUAGAAACUGAUGCUUCAGAUUUUGCUUUGGGAGCUGUGCUUUCACAAAUGAGUGAAGAUAAGAAGCUCCAUCCAGUUGCAUUCUAUUCUCGGAAGUUCUCUGCUGCUGAAAUCAAUUAUGAGAUCCACGAUAAGGAACUUCUUGCUAUAGUGGAUUCUUUCGAAGAAUGGCGUCACUUUCUUGAUGGAGCUGUACAUCCAGCAACCGUAUAUACGGAUCACAAGAAUUUGGAGUAUUUCAUGACGGCUCGAGUUUUAAAUCGGUGUCAAGCUCGGUGGAAUAUGUCGCUAUCUAGAUUCGAUUUUGUUAUCACUUAUUGACCUGGAAGGUAGCAAGGACUAUCCGAUGCUUUAUCAAGGAGAUCGUAUCUUGCACCAAAGGCUGGAGAAGCAGCGUUUGAUCAACAAUGUACAACGUUAUUGAAGCCAGAGAGAUUUCAACUUUGUGCUACUAUUAUAUCAUUUGAUGCUGACUUCUUAAACUAGGUACGUGCUAUGACCAUUAAAGAUUCAGUAGCCAUUGAUAUCAAGCAACGUACCAAUGACGAUAAGUUGAAGGUGGAAGGAGAUCUUUUAUACUUUGAAGAGCAAUUGUACAUUCCAAAAGGACUAGCACGACUCCGAGUUCUUCAAUCUCGCCAUGAUUUUCCAGCUGCGGGAUAUUUUGGAUUCAACAAGACCUUGGAGCUUAUUUCUCGAGAUUUUUGGUGGCCCCAAAUGUGGAAGGAUGUGAAAGAUUUUGUCCUCUCUUGUGACAUCUGUCAAGAUCUAAGAAUCCUCGGCAUCGCCCUUAUGGACUUCUACAGCCAUUGCCAAUUCGAUGUCGACCAUGGUCUUCAAUUUCUAUGGACUUCAUCACGGACUUGCCAUCAUCAAACUCAUUUGACAGCAUCUUUGUCGUGGUAGAUCGGCUUACGAAGAUGGCACACUUUGUUCCUUGUAAGAAGACAUCGUCCAGUGAAGUCACAGUAAGACUCUUUCUCGAUAAUGUGUAUCGAUAUCAUGAACUACCAGAUGAUAUCAUAUCAGAUCGAGGUACCCAGUUCGUGUCAAAGUUUUGGAGAUCUCUCUUUGGAAUAUUGAAGGUGGAUAUCAAGCUUUCUUCAGCUUUUCAUUCUCAAACUGAUGGCCAAACGGAACGGGUGAACCAAAUCUUGGAGCAGUACUUACGAUGCAGCAUCAACUAUUAACAAGACGAUUGGACUACAUAUCUAUCGCUAGCCGAGUUUGCAUAUAACAACACCCUCCAUGCGUCGACUCAACAAACACCAUUCUUUUUCAACUAUGGGUAUCAUCCGAAGCUUGAUUUAUUGAGUUCGUCAACAAAUAACAAUCCAGCAGCUGAAGGAUUUGCGAAGCAACUAUCAGAGCUUCAAACUAUGUUGAAGCUUCAAUUACAAUCCGCUCAAGAAUCCUAUGAGACGUCUGCAGAUAGAUUUUGGAAUCCAGCACCUACUUUCAAAGUUGGAGACAAAGUCUGGCUUCUUCGACGAAAUAUCAAGACCAAGCGACCAUGUGAUAAGUUGGACUAUCGAAGAUUGGGACCAUUUAUCAUCCAGAAGCAAAUUAAUCCAGUGGCAUACCGGUUGGAGUUACCGGCUUCUAUGAAGGUACAUCCAGUCUUUCAUGUUUCUCUGUUGGAACCUCAUCGAGAGUCAUCUUUUCCUGGAAGAGUGCAAUGUCUGCCACCUAGUAUUGAAAUCGAGAACCACGAAGAAUACGAGGUUGAAAAGGUAUUGGAUUCACGGCGAAGGUGGGGAAAGUUAGAAUAUCUUGUUCAUUGGUGUGGCUAUGACAUUAAUGAGCGAACGUGGGAGCCAGCUGAAAAUCUUGCGAAUGUGCCACAAAAGGUACAGGAGUUUCAUCAACGACAUCCCGAUAAACCUAAAUCAAUUCGAUGAUAGCUUCUUUCUGAAGCUUGUUCUCCCAACAAUAUAAGAAAAGGGGAGAGCACCAGCAAAAUUCAUAGUUGAUGUAGUUAUUUUCUCCAAGAUAGAUCGUAGUUUGGUGUUUUGAUAUGGAUAGCCAAGAGAUAGAUACUAUGCCAGUCAGAGUAUUGCAACCGAGUAGCUCACGAAGGCGACCCCGAGAUGAAGAACUACAUGUACCACGAUGACAACGGAGGGUACCGAGUAACCGAUCAUUGGUGAUUGUAUUUGAGAUCGAGCCUGCUUACGAUGGUCAACCAGAAGGCGUGUUUGCAGGACAAUUUCACAAUGAGGACACGGAAGUUCAUGCUUGGUCAGAAGUCGAAGGCGUGGACCACUACCGUUGGCUUCAAGGGUCGAUAAACCACUUGCCUCGUGAACAACAGUUGGAGUUCAUAGCAGAAGUUAUGCGACAGAUCUUCAUUUUCUUGCGUUGGUACUGAUCAACAACAUUGCUUCUCAGAGACCUCGAAGCUAAAAGAGGGGGUGAUGUUAGGGACAUAUUCCUUAGAACUUUCUAGAGAGAAGUUUCUAGAACCUUCUAGAGAACAAGCCUUAAGAACCUUCUAGAAGAGAAGCCUCUGGAACCUUUUAGAGAGAAGUUUCUAGAAGCUUCUAGAAAGGAAGUCUCUGGAACCUUCUAGAAGUGAAGUUUCUAGAAGCUUCUAGAAAGGAAUCCCCUGGAACUUUCUAGAAGCUUCGUAGUUAAUACAAGUAGCUCAAGAAGUUUCUAGAACCUUCUAGAAAGAAAGCCUCUAGAACCUUCUAGAAGCUUUCUAGUUAAUAGAAGUAGCUCGAGAAGCUUCCUAAGUAGGAGUAUAUAUAGGGAUCGAGGCUGAAGAGUUCUUCAGUCUCGACAACACAUCUCUUGGAGUUCUACCUCACCUUUCUGGUGUUGUUCUUGUACUCAUCUGUUUAAUCUAGUUUUGCCACUUCUUCUUGAACUUCUUGUUAGAUUUCAAGUCUGUAUUUUGUGUCCGUGACAAUAGGACUUCUAUUACAUGUCCAACUUAUAAGAUAUAUGUCUAAUUUGUAAGACAAGUUUUUUAGGUGUGUGCCAUAUGUUCAACUUGUAUUACAAGUGGUCAACUUGUCGACAUGUGGCCUCUUUGUUGGCCAAGUUUUCAACCUAUCAACCACCUGUAGACAUAUAUAAAAGCAAAAAAAUGUCUAUGAAGCUUCUAGGAAGCUUUCUAUAUGAUAUUAUCAUAUUUAUUUACUUUGACUUAUUUCUAUCUAUUUUUAUUAUCUAGAUAAUUAUCAAGAUAAAUAUAUUUGUCCAUGAUAAUUGCAUAGGACUUUAUAAUAUCUUAAAUUUUUUUUAAUUUUUGUUAUAGAGAUACAUAUUUACUUAGAUAAGAAGUGCUAGGUAGAAAAUAAAUGUAAGUAGAUUUAAUAUUAUCUUGUAGCGAAGCUUUUGAAAAGUUUCAUAAAUACAUAUUUGACUUCAUACAUAUUUAUAAUUGAUUGGUAGGUAUCAAAGAUAUGAAUCUUAGAAAACUAAAAGUUCAAUACAUUCUUAUGCUACUCAAAAAGACUAAAGAAUCACUCAAAUAUGGUAUAAUAUAAAACUAAAAUGCCUAUUGCCAAAGAGAAGAAAACUAAAAAGUAUUGAAAUAAAAGUAAGAACUAAAAAGGUGAUGAUAAAAGUGAAGAAGGCAUCACUUUUGCCUCCAUAUAUACUAUUCAACUAGGAGCUAUAUGGCGAUGUCUUAUAUGACCUCAAACACAUGUCUAAUUUGUAAGACAUGUGUCUUAACUUGCAAAAUAAAUUUUUUAUAUUCAUGCCACAUCAUUAGCUUUUUUCAUAAUCUAUUUACAUGUAUGAUACAUGGCUAACUUGUUGGCCAAGUUUCUAACCUAUUAAUCAAGAAUAAACAUGUAUGAAGUCAAAUAUGUAUCUAUAAAGUUUUUAAGAAGCUUUGUUACAAGAUAUUAUGAAAUACAUUUAUAUUUACUUUCUACCUUGCACUUCUUGUUUAAGUAUAUAUAUAUAUAUAUAUGACAGUAGGUUAGAAACUUGGCCAAUAAAUUAACUACAUGUUGUGUACCUUUGUAGCUUGUAAUAUAAGCUAACAAUAUGGUACACAUAUAAAAAACUUGUCUUAUAAGUUAAGACAUGUGUUUUACAAAUUAAACACGUGUUGAUAAUCCUAUAGAACAUUGUCACAUAGCUUCUAAUUAGGUAGCAUAUAUAAAGACAAUAGUCAAGUUUUCUUCACUCUUGUCAAUACCUUUCUAUUUCUAAGUCUUAUUUUAAGACUUUUUAAUCCUUUUUUCACGGACACAAAAUACAUACUUGAAAUCUAACAAGAAGAACAACACCAGAAAGGUGAGGUAGAACUCCAAGAGAUGUGUUGUCGAGACUGAAGAACUCUUCAGCCUCGAUCCCUAUAUAUACUCCUACUUAGGAAGCUUCUCGAGCUACUUCUAUUAACUAGAAAGCUUCUAGAAGGUUCUAGAGGCUUUCUUUCUAGAAGGUUCUAGAAACUUCUUGAGCUACUUGUAUUAACUACGAAGCUUCUAGAAAGUUCCAGGGGAUUCCUUUCUAGAAGCUUCUAGAAACUUCACUUCUAGAAGGUUCCAGAGACUUCCUUUCUAGAAGCUUCUAGAAACUUCUCUCUAAAAGGUUCCAGAGGCUUCUCUUCUAGAAGGUUCUUAAGGCUUGUUCUCUAGAAGGUUCUAGAAACUUCUCUCUAGAAAGUUCUAAGGAAUAUGUCCCUAACAUCACCCCCUCUUUUAGCUUCGAGGUCUCUGAGAAGCAAUGUUGUUGAUCAGUACCAACGCAAGAAAAUGAAGAUCUGUCGCAUAACUUCUGCUAUGAACUCCAACUGUUGUUCACGAGGCAAGUGGUUUAUCGACCCUUGAAGCCAACGGUAGUGGUCCACGCCUUCGACUUCUGACCAAGCAUGAACUUCCGUGUCCUCAUUGUGAAAUUGUCCUGCAAACACGCCUUCUGGUUGACCAUCGUAAGCAGGCUCGAUCUCAAAUACAAUCACCAAUGAUCGGUUACUCGGUACCCUCCGUUGUCAUCGUGGUACAUGUAGUUCUUCAUCUCGGGGUCGCCUUCGUGAGCUACUCGGUUGCAAUACUCUGACUGGCAUAGUAUCUAUCUCUUGGCUAUCCAUAUCAAAACACCAAACUACGAUCUAUCUUGGAGAAAAUAACUACAUCAACUAUGAAUUUUGCUGGUGCUCUCCCCUUUUCUUAUAUUGUUGGGAGAACAAGCUUCAGAAAGAAGCUAUCAUCGAAUUGAUUUAGGUUUAUCGGGAUGUCGUUGAUGAAACUCCUGUACCUUUUGUGGCACAUUCGCAAGAUUUUCAGCUGGCUCCCACGUUCGCUCAUUAAUGUCAUAGCCACACCAAUGAACAAGAUAUUCUAACUUUCCCCACCUUCGCCGUGAAUCCAAUACCUUUUCAACCUCGUAUUCUUCGUGGUUCUCGAUUUCAAUACUAGGUGGCAGACAUUGCACUCUUCCAGGAAAAGAUGACUCUCGAUGAGGUUCCAAUAGAGAAACAUGAAAGACUGGAUGUACCUUCAUAGAAGCCGGUAACUCCAACCGGUAUGCCACUGGAUUAAUUUGCUUCUGGAUGAUAAAUGGUCCCAAUCUUCGAUAGUCCAACUUAUCACAUGGUCGCUUGGUCUUGAUAUUUCGUCGAAGAAGCCAGACUUUGUCUCCAACUUUGAAAGUAGGUGCUGGAUUCCAAAAUCUAUCUGCAGACGUCUCAUAGGAUUCUUGAGCGGAUUGUAAUUGAAGCUUCAACAUAGUUUGAAGCUCUGAUAGUUGCUUCGCAAAUCCUUCAGCUGCUGGAUUGUUAUUUGUUGACGAACUCAAUAAAUCAAGCUUCGGAUGAUACCCAUAGUUGAAAAAGAAUGGUGUUUGUUGAGUCGACGCAUGGAGGGUGUUGUUAUAUGCAAACUCGGCUAGCGAUAGAUAUGUAGUCCAAUCGUCUUGUUAAUAGUUGAUGCUGCAUCGUAAGUACUGCUCCAAGAUUUGGUUCACCCGUUCCGUUUGGCCAUCAGUUUGAGAAUGAAAAGCUGAAGAAAGCUUGAUAUCCACCUUCAAUAUUCCAAAGAGAGAUCUCCAAAACUUUGACACGAACUGGGUACCUCGAUCUGAUAUGAUAUCAUCUGGUAGUUCAUGAUAUCGAUACACAUUAUCGAGAAAGAGUCUUACUGUGACUUCACUGGACGAUGUCUUCUUACAAGGAACAAAGUGUGCCAUCUUCGUAAGCCGAUCUACCACGACAAAGAUGCUGUCAAAUGAGUUUGAUGAUGGCAAGUCCGUGAUGAAGUCCAUAGAAAUUGAAGACCAUGGUCGACAUCGAAUUGGCAAUGGCUGUAGAAGUCCAUAAGGGCGAUGCCGAGGAUUCUUAGAUCUUGACAGAUGUCACAAGAGAGGACAAAAUCUUUCACAUCCUUCCACAUUUGGGGCCACCAAAAAUCUCGAGAAAUAAGCUCCAAGGUCUUGUUGAAUCCAAAAUAUCCCGCAGCUGGAAAAUCAUGGCGAGAUUGAAGAACUCGGAGUCGUGCUAGUCCUUUUGGAAUGUACAAUUGCUCUUCAAAGUAUAAAAGAUCUCCUUCCACCUUCAACUUAUCGUCAUUGGUACGUUGCUUGAUAUCAAUGGCUACUGAAUCUUUAAUGGUCAUAGCACGUACCUAGUUUAAGAAGUCAGCAUCAAAUGAUAUAAUAGUAGCACAAAGUUGAAAUCUCUCUGGCUUCAAUAACGUUGUACAUUGUUGAUCAAACGCUGCUUCUCCAGCCUUUGGUGCAAGAUACGAUCUCCUUGAUAAAGCAUCGGAUAGUCCUUGCUACCUUCCAGGUCAAUAAGUGAUAACAAAAUCGAAUCUAGAUAGCGACAUAUUCCACCGAGCUUGACGCCGAUUUAAAACUCGAGCCGUCAUGAAAUACUCCAAAUUCUUGUGAUCCGUAUAUACGGUUACUGGAUGUGCAGCUCCAUCAAGAAAGUGACGCCAUUCUUCGAAAGAAUCCACUAUAGCAAGAAGUUCCUUAUCGUGGAUCUCAUAAUUGAUUUCAGCAGCAGAGAACUUCCGAGAAUAGAAUGCAACUGGAUGGAGCUUCUUAUCUUCACUCAUUUGUGAAAGCACAGCUCCCAAAGCAAAAUCUGAAGCAUCAGUUUCUAAAUAGAAGGCAUUUGUAAAGUCUGGAUGUACCAAAAUUGGAGCUGUAGUAAAUGCUGUCUUCAAAUCUUGAAACGCCUUCUCCGCCAAAGGUCCCCAUUCCAACUUAUCCUUGCAUGUUAAUCGAGUGAGAGGAGCAGCAACUUGAGAAUAAUUCUUGAUGAAGAUCUGAUAGAAGUUAGCAAAACCAAGAAAGCAUUGUACGUCUCUAACCGUCUUCGGAACCUCUCAAGACAUGAUUGCUUCUACUUUCUUGGGGUCCAUCUUCAAACCUUCUGUAGUCGCAAUGAACCCCAAAAAUUCCAUCUCUGUCUAGUAAAAUAAACACUUUUCUAAUUUGGCAUAUAGUCCUCGCUUGCGUAGUUUCUCCAAGACCAAACGAACAUGCUCCUCAUACUCUUCCUCGUUUUUAGAGAAUAUUAGAAUAUCGUCCAAGUAGAUGACAACAAAAUCGUCGAGGUGUUCUCGAAAGAUGUCAUUCAUCAUAUGUUGGAAAACCGCUGGAGCAUUGGUAAGACCAAAAGGCAUGACAUUAUAUUCGAAAUGACCAUACCUUGUACGGAAUGCUGUCUUCCACUCAUCUCCUUCCUUGAUUCGUACGAGAUUAUAAGCUCCCCUUAGAUCAAUUUUUGUAAAGAUCUUCGCACGUCCAAGUUGUUCUAAGAGACUAGAAAUCAAGGGUAAUGGAUAACAAUUUUUCUUUGUUACCUUGUUGAGGCCUCGAUAGUCCAUACACAUCCGUAAUGAUCCAUCUUUCUUCUUCACAAAUAAGAUGGAUGCUCCAGCUGAUGAUUUUGAAUGACGAAUGAAGUUCUUGGCUAGAUUUUCGUCAAUGUACUUUCGUAACUCUGCCAACUCCGUUUGCGAUAGAUUGUAGAUUGGGCCAAAAGGUGGUUGUGCUCCUUCUUGCAAGUCUAUGGCACAAUCAUAUGGUCGGUGUUCCGGUAGUAUGUCGCCGUUCUUCUUUUGAAACACGUCUUCAAAAUCUUUAUAUUGCUCCGGUAUACUUGCUGUUGAGAUCUUCUCCUCGGUAGUUGGAGCCGCAUAAAUGACAAAUGGAGUGCCUUCCUUAGAUGAUCUUAUAAACGCUCUUGCUCUAAUGACUAAGGAUUUCUUUUUUCGAGGUUUUUUACUAGGUUUUUUCUUGGGUGGUUUUGUGGGAAAAGUCAUCUUCCGCAACCUCCAAUCUAUCAAUGGAUUAUGUUUUUCCAACCAAGAAAGACCAAGAAUAAUAGGAUUUGAUGGGAUUCUAAUAAUAUUAAAAAUAAUAUGACUACUAUGGUCUUUAAACGUUACUUCUAUAGGUUUUGAUUCAUGGGUGAUGCUACCAGACAAUAAAGGUCGCCCAUCUAUGACCUCAACAUGAAUAGGUUUUGAUUUUUGUACUAAAGGGAUCUUAUGACGCUUUGCAAAUUCUUCGUCUAAAAAACAAGCAGAUGCUCCUGAGUCUAGUAGUGCUAAGGUUCUCAGUUUUUGAGGGCCGAUAAACAGAGGGAUUGUAAAACAAAGUGCAGGUUGGGCAGAAAGAAAGGAACCUGAUUGUUGUUGGGAUAUUUCAUUGUCCAACGGCACAGUUCCUACUGUGGCUGGGCAUCCUCGUUUUCCUGAACAAAUACUCCCCUAGUCUUGACUAUACCUCGAUUUUGCUUUUUGAGACAGUUUUCGACUUUGUAGCCUUCUCCACCGCAAUACAAGCAUAAAUUUUCCUCCAUACGUCACUUUUUUUCUUCUAUAGUAAGAGAUUUGAUAUGUAUCGCAUCAAUUUGCAUGUCUUCCACCUUUGAAUGCGAAUUCACACUGCUUGCCGACAUAGUUGGAGCAUGGCGAAUUGUAUGUUGUCUUGAGCGUUGAUCUUGGCGACGUUGGAAUAGGCGAUUAUCGCACUUCACAGCUUGGCUAAUGGCUUCAUUGAGCGUUCGUGGAUCAGGAAGAGUUAACAGCAAAUCCUUCACAUCAUCUCUUAAACCCCAAUAGAAUUGACUCAUCAACGCUUCUUCAUCCCAAUUGAUGUCGCAUACUAAUUACCUGAAAUUCGAAGCAUAGAUUGAUGUAGAACGCAUCCCUUGUCGUAGCGACCGGAUCUUUGUUGUAGCCCAUCGAACCUUAUCGUAUUCACCAAAUGCUUCUGCAAAUGCUUCCAAAAAGGUUUCGAAGUUGUUUAAUAUGGAUGAUCGUUUCUCAAACAAAGGAGCAAACCAUGAUAGAGCUUGUCCCGUAAGUAAGGUUCCAACAAGCCCAACACGUGACUCCUCCGUUGGAUAUCGUUCAGGCUGUAAAACUGUUAUCAACCUGAUUUGAUUGACGAAUCCUCGAAACUUGGAACGUGUUCCAUCAAACUUAUCUGGAAGGCUAACUCGAGGCUCCUUAUGUUGUAGAACUAGUGGUUCUUGUCGAACCUGAGGUAAAGUUGUUUCUCCAAGUGCCGAAAUUUGAGGCUGGUGUAGUUUAGAUUGUGCUAUCCCAGAUACUCCAUCAUUAUGAAGCCUUGCCACCACUCCUUCAAUCUCUGCAGUUCUUUGUGAUAAUGUAGCGAGGGCAUUCAUAAUAGCAUCUAACUUAGACUCCGAACUUUCUGUCAUACUAAUGUCUUGACCUCCGGCCAUUCUAAAAGAAGGACAAAAAUGACCCUAUAAGAGGCAAUAUUGGUUUAUAGGAGGGUAAUCCACAACCUAUAAAAUGCCUUAAGAAUUUCAAGAAGAGAUGUAAUCCACUCUCUCCAAGAAGAAUAAGACUCCAAUAUUAUAACAAAAGAAGUAUCAGUUUAGAGGAGGGUAAUCUGCAACCUCUAAAAAAUACUAGUAUACCUUCAAGUAGAGGGGUAAUCUACACUCUACUAAGAAAGAACUAGCUCUGAUAUCUCAAGUUAGUGUAGUCUCGACAAACUAUCAUGGACACAAAAUAUAGACUUGAAAUCUAACAAGAAGUUCAAGAAGAAGUAGCAAAACUAGAUUAAACAGAUGAGUACAAGAACAACACCAGAAAGGUGAGCUAGAACUCCAAGAGAUGUGUUGUCGAGACUGAAGAACUCUUCAGCCUCGAUCCCUAUAUAUACUCCUACUUAGGAAGCUUCUCGAGCUACUUCUAUUAACUAGAAAGCUUCUAGAAGGUUCAAGAGGCUUCCUUUCUAGAAGGUUCUAGAAACUUCUUGAGCUACUUCUAUUAACUAGGAAGCUUUUAGAAAGUUCCAGGGGAUUCCUUUCUAGAAGCUUCUAGAAACUUCUCUUCUAGAAGGUUCCAGAGACUUCCUUUCUAGAAGCUUCUAGAAACUUCUCUCUAAAAGGUUCCAGAGGGUUCUCUUCUAGAAGGUUCCAGAGGCUUGUUUUCUAGAAGGUUCUAGAAACUUCUCUCUAGAAAGUUCUAAGGAAUAUGUCCCUAACACCUAUAGGAUGUCACCACGUAUUUCUUAGUUAAGUAAUAUAUAUAGAGGUAAGAGUGACACCUUCCUCACUCUUGUCAUCUCCUUUCUUGCUUUUAGUCUAGUUUCAAGAGUCUUAUGUUUUUUAGUCUUUGGCAAUAGUCAUUCCAGUUCUUCUUUGAAUAUACAUACUUUCUUCUAUUUUUUUACUUUCUUUUUGACACAAAUUCUACAAGUUUAUGCAUCUUCUUUCAAUUUUUGUCCUUGAUAGAUUAACAAGAAUAUGCAUACAAUAUCACAAAUUUUUCUUUUUUUGAUUAAGAGUGGAUUAUCUCUUUUUUUUAUAAGACAUAAGUGUAUUAGAAGUUGUGGAUUAUUUUCUUCUAAACUGAUAUUAUUUUUAGAAAUUUUUUUUUCUUCAUUCUUGAGUAUUGUAUUUUGUAAAAAUAAACGCCUUUCUUUUUAUUGUGCUUGCAUGGUAGAGCUUCCUGAAAUGAAGAGUGCAAUGGCUCAAAUGUAUGAACAAAUGAGAGAGUUAAUACUUACAAUGUACCAACUCAGUCUACGACCACAAGCAGCAACAAGAUUAUCAAGCAAUGAAGAUAUAGAGAUAAUUGAAAUUGCUUCAACUUCUACACCAAGCCAUAUUAUUACUCUACAAUAGAACAUCGUUCAAGUUUCAAGGAAGUAAAAAUUAGAUUGCUUAAUAAGUUUGAUGGCACAAGAUCUAAGUUUUAAGGAUUCAUCAAUCAGGUACAAUUGGUAAUUGAACUACAAUCUCAAAGUUAUCCAACUCAAAGAUCACAAGUCGAGUUUAUUAGAAUACUACUUUCACAUUCUACUUUAUUAUGGUUUUCAUCAUUUCUUGAAUGAUGUGAUUCAAUAUUAGAUAAUUUGAAAGCAUUCUUCAUAGAGUUUUGAUCUAUGUAUGGAGAUAAUAAUACAAAUCAUGUUGUAACAAACAAGAUUUGUAUCUUGUGACAAGACAAUCAAUCAGUGACAUUAUAUGCUUCACAAUUUUGACAAUUAGCAACAAAUAUCAAGUGGGAUGAUACAACACUCAUCAGCCAGUUUCUCUACGGAUAAUAAUAUGAAGUAAAAAAAUUGAUGCUUAAUUUAAUUGAUCCUCAGACAUUAAGUCAAGCAAUUGACUUUGUUAUAAAUAUUACAAUCGACUUUUUAAAUUUUAAUCUCAAAAUUAUACAAAGAAACCUUAACAUUAUUAUAAUUCAAUGACAACACCAACUACUUUUCAAUCUAAACAUUUAGAAGUAGAAGACAUGCAAAUUGAUGAAGUACAUUUUAAACUUCUUACCAAAUAAGAAAAGAUUUGUUAUCAUCAAGAAAGACUGAUUAUAUUAUGGAGAAGCUAAGGACACUACUUAAUAUUGCCCAAAGAAAUGAUACAACUAUAAAAUGAGGAGUACUAUUGUCAAAGAUGAAAACAUGUUAGAAAAUAAAUUUAUUUAGCUACAAUAAGGAUCGUGCAGCUAGAAUCUUAUACAAUUUUUAAUAAAAGAGCUCCUAUCUUAUUUGUGAAGAAAAAAGAUAGAUCAUUGCAAAUGUGUGUGGAUUAUUGAGGAGUCAACAAGAUUACCAUCAAGAAUAAAUAUCCUCUGCUUUUAAUAUCUAGACUUCUUGAUCAAUUAAAUCAAAUUAAGAUUUAUACAAAAAUAGGUCUAUAAAGAGCAUACAAUCUGGUCCACAUUAAAGAAGGAAAUAAAUGGAAGACUGCAUUUUGAAUAAGGUAUGGACACUUUGAAUAUAAUGUCAUACCUUUUGGACUCACAAAUGCACCAACUCCUUUUCAAUAUCUUGUAAAUGAUGUUUUUCAUGAGUUUCUAGAUGAUUUGUUGUCUGUUAUUUAGAUGAUAUUUUAAUCUACUCUAAGAAUGCAAAAGAACAUGAAGUUCAUGUUCAUCGUGUAUUACUAAAACUUAGAGAUACAAGAUUGUAUGCCAAGAUGGAAAAGUGUAUAUUUUACACUAUUUAAGUUGAUUUCUUAGGAUACAUCAUUUCAAACAAUGGUCUAAUGAUGGAUCCUAAAAAAAUUCACACAAUCAUGGACUGGAAGAUUCCAAAAAUAGUAAGAGAUGUAUAAUACUUUUUUGAGAUUUGUCAAUUACUAUUAGAUCUUCAUCAAGAAUUUUUCUCAAGUUGGAGUGCUACUUACAAGCUUAACUUGUAAAGACAAGCUAAAGUGGAAUAAAGAAGCAGAAGCAUCAUUUCAAGCUUUAAAGAAAGCUUUUACUUCUGUACCAAUCCUGUAUUGCAUCAAUUUUUUUAAAGUAUUUUUUAUGGAGACAAAUGUAUUUGACUUUGCCUUGGAUAUAGUCUUGUCACAAGUAGAAGCAGAUAACAAAUUUCAUCCUGUAGCUUUUCAUUCAAGAAAAAUUUUAGCAGCUAAGAUUAAUUAUGAGAUCCAUGAUAAGAAACUUCUUACAAUUAUAGACUCUUUUCAAGAAUGGCAUCAUUAUUUAGAAGGUACUUCAAGUCAUGUUAUCAUAUAUAUGAAUCACAAGAAUCUCGAAUAUUUCAUAUCAGCACAUGUUUUGAAUCAUCGCUAGGCUCGUUGGAGCAUGUCUUUAUCAAGUUUCGAGUUUAAUAUCACUUAUUGGCUGAAAAAACAACAAGGUUUGUUUAAUACCUUUUCUAGACGUUCUUAUCUUACAUCAAAAGAAGGAAAAGUAACUUUUGAUCAACAAAAGAUAAUUUUAUUAAAGCCAAAAUAAUUUCAUCUCCAAGCAAUGAAAUCAACAUUGAUUAUUGAUUUGACUUUUCUCAAGCAAAUCCAAGCAAGUAUGUCCUUAGACCUUCUUAUUCAUGAUAUUAAAAAUAAUUCCUCUAAGUCUUAAGAUACUUCCAAGUUUGAGUUUAAAAAAGACCUAUUCUAUUUCAAAGGAUGCUUAUAUAUUCCAGAAGGAGAAGCGCAAUUACAUACUCUUGAAGCUCAUCACAAUUUCUCUGUAGCAAGAUAUUUUGGAUAUAAUUAGACUUUGAAGCUUAUAUCUAGAGAUUUUUUGUAGCCUCAAAUAUGGAAGGUUAUUAAAGAAUUUGUGAAGACAUGUCAUAUUUGUACAAGAUCAAAAACUCUUCAUGAUCAAUCUUAUGGAUUCCUCCAACCAUUAUCUAUACUAGAAUAAUUAUGGUCUUCUGUCUCUAUAGAUUUUAUUAUGGAUCUUCCAAUUUCAAGUUCAUAUGAUUCCAUAUUUAUGAUUGUAGAUCAUUUCACCAAGAUGGCACAUUUUGUACCAUGUACAAAAUCUAUCAUAGGUGAAGGAAUAGCUAAAUUCUUCCUUGACAAUAUCUAUUGCUAUCAUGGGUUACUAAGGGAUAUUAUAUCAAACAGAGGAACACUAUUUUUAUUGAGAUUUUGGAGAACUCUUUUUAAGAUAUUGAAGGUGGAUAUAAAACUAUCUUUGGCUUUCCGCCCUCAAACUGAUGGAUAAAUAGAAUAGAUAAAUCAAGUUUUAAAGCAAUAUUUGAUGUGUAUCAUCAACUAUAAACAAGAUGAUUGAACAACUCUUUUGCCAGUGGCAGAGUUUGCUUACAAUAAUUUGGUACAUUCUUCUACUCAAUAAACACCUUUUUUUGUCAAUUAUAGUUAUCAUCUACAAUUUGAUACUUUUGACUUUUCAAAAGUUGAUAAUCCUAUAGUAGAAGAUGUAGCAAAUUGAUUGUCAGAGCUACAUGCAAUAAUAAAGGCACAAUUAAAUGAAGCUCAAGAACGACAAAAAGCCAAUGUAGAUGUCUAUUGCAAGGAACAACCUCAAUUCUAUGUGGAGAAUAAGGUAUGGUUACUUAGUUGCAAUAUUUAAACUAUUUGUCCUUGUGACAAGCUGGAUUAUUGUAGGCUUCAACCAUUUUUCAUUGGUAAAUAGAACAAUCCAAUUGCUUAUUGAUUACACCUAUUGAAGUCUAUAAAAAUCCAUCAUGUAUUCCAUGUAUCUUUACUUGAGCUAUACAAGACAAUGGAUAUACAAGGAAGGAGACAAAUGCCACCACCUCUUAUAGAAAUGGACAAUAAUGAAGAAUUUAGACUAGAAGAAGUCUUAGAUUCAAGGUGGCAUCAAAAUAGGUUAGAAUAUCGGAUAUAUUGGCGUGGAUAUGGCAUUAAUGAAUUCACAUGGAAGCCAUCUAAGAACCUAGCAAAUGCAUCAACCAAAGUUAAAACUUUUCAUCAAUGACAUCCAUCAAAACCAAGAUGAAGAGUCAAAAAAAAUUUUGCUAUAAAAUAAAGCAAGCCCAAUGGAGAUUUCAUUCUAUCUUCUAUCAUUGUUUCUUUGAAUUUUUUAGUAUUUAGGAGAUGGAGGAGCAACAACCAGCAGAUUCAACUCAAGAGCUAUCAUUUACUAAGCUACUAGACAAGACAUUACAACUAUCACAACCUUUGAGAUGGCAAAAUCGAGAUGAAGAGUCUCAAGAAUGGCAUGUUCUUCUUCGAAUAGAUGGCAAGAUAUAAUGCAUUUGGUACCACAACCUUAGAAGGAACUCUUGAUGUUUAGUGAUACUUUUGGAGGUAGGAACUAUUGCUGAUGGUAUUAUUAAUGUUUUGUUUGAAGGAAGUUAUGAAGACCUCAAUAAUGAUCAAAUAUCAAGGUGGUCUUCUCGCCUUAGUAUGGGAUAUUAUUGAUGGUUGAAGGCACCUAUCAACUACCUUCAAAGGGAACAAAGAUCAGUGUACGUGGCAAAUAUAGUUUGGUGCAUUUUGAACUUCAUCAAUAUAUAAUCAUAGCUCCUCAUGGAACUCGUCCUUAGAAAGGGGAAUAAUGUCACGGACAUACAUAUUUAUCUUGAUAAUUAUCUAGAUAAUAAAAAUAGGUAGAAGUAAGUCAAAGUAGAUAAAUAUGAUAAUAUCUUGUAGAAAGCUUCCUAAAAGCUUUAUAGAUGUUGCUUUGCCUUUAUACAUGUCUAUAGGUGAUUGAUAGGUUAAAAACUUGGCCAACAAGGACACCACAUGUCGACAUAUUGACCACUUAUAAUACAAGCAAGACAUAUGGCAAACCUAGGAAACUUAUCUUGCAAAUUAGACAUGUGUCUUGCAAGUUGGACGUGUAUUAGACGUCUUAUAGCAUGUCACUACAUAUUUCUUAGUUAAGUAGUAUAUAUAGAAGCAAGGAUAAGGCCUUCUUCACUCUUGUCAACUCCUUUCUUGUUUUUAGUCUAGUUUCAAGAGUCUUAUGUUUUCUAGUCUUUGGCAAUAGUCAUUCCAGUUCUUCCUUGAAUAUACAUACUUUCUUCUAUUUUGUCACUUUCUUUUUCACACAAAUUCGACGAGUUUAUGCAUCUUCUUCUAGUUUUUGUCCUUGACAACAAUAUGGAAGUAAAAUAGAAAUAGUUAUAUGAAUUCAAAUGUUAAGUGUAUCAAUUUAAUAUUUUUUUUAAUUUUUACUUUAUCAAUAAAUAUAUGUGUAUAGAAGGAAUAUGUAAAUAUUUUGAAUUGUCUUAUUUAAUAGAUCAUAUAAUCAAAUUUCAAUAAAAUAAAUAAUAUUAUGAUUGUUGUCAUUAUUAUUUUUUAUAUUUUAAUAGUGAUAAAUUUUGAAUCUUUUUAGAGAUUAUUAUUUUUUUAAUAGAUAAAAAAUUAUAUAAAUUUAAAAAAUAAGAAACUAAAUGAAGGUAAGGAUGAUAACCUAUUUGUUUAUGUUAUACAUGCGGAAACUUGUAUUGUUGGACACUACCAUCUAUCCAUUCUUGUAUUCAUCUAUAUUCCUAUGUUCUUGUAUUUGGCCAAUUAGAAGACUUCUUUGUCUCUUUGUCUUAUAUGCAAUAGUGAAGCAUUCUAUAGUGAACAAAUUUAAGUACCAAAAUCCUUCUAGUGUUACAAGCCGUAACAAUGAAGCUGCCCUAAACUUGUAAAGAAAUGAACUUCAAACAAAUUCGCAGAACUUUUAAAGCAAAAGCAAGCCACGAGGGCACGUUUGGAGAGGUCAAUGCCAGCAAAAGGCACACUACGUGGUCACACGUGGAUCCAGAGGGAACGGUCAGGAUGACACUGCUACGAAAAGCCGCAUCCAAAACGGUGACGAGCCUCCAGAUCGCGCCAACUGGCGAACGAAUAAUGAUGAAGAAUGUUAAUUCGUCUAAAAAUGGACGAAUACAGGGGCCGUUCUUCGACGUCAAGGUUGGGUUGAGGGUUUUAGGGCCAAGUACGUGCCGGGGCAAACCGCCCUUCCUUGCCCAGCCCAGGCCCCUGUCUACACUGGCAACCCUGACAAUGCACGUCCUCAUUCUCAAGCUUGGAAGAGGCUUCUCUACGCCGGAUUCAAGGCUCAUUUCGGUGAUUUCUGCCCCCCCAACCCUUAAAAAACUUCGUGGGUUGUCUACCUGACUGGAAGGCGACAUUGGUUUCACGAAUUUGCGCGAAAUUGCGAGAAUUUGUGCGAAAUUUCAGCAACAAUGGUGAGAGCAGUGGCGGUCACGUCGAGUUCGGCGAGUUUGGGGUUAGGCGUUACGAAGUCCAGAUUCGUCGUGUGCGAUGGGCUUUCUUCGCAGUCGUUUGUGAUGGUAGGGACGCAUAGGAAGGGCACACGGAUGGUGCAGCCGCUGACGAAAGUGAACGCCGGGAGGAGGGGCGCGGGAUUGGUGAGAGCCGAUGCGUUACCAUCGUCGCAAGAAGUAGCUAAGAAUGUACCAGGAGCGCAGGCGGUGUCCUUGGAGGAGGUCGCCCCCGAUUCUUCGAAACCGAUUUCGGAGAGUAACGGACCCAGUUCAUCUAUGAAGAGUAGAAAUGAGAAUAUCAGGGACGAGGCUCGUCGACAGGGGGCUGGCUGCUCUCCGACCACAUUUUCUGCCAAGUACGUGCCAUUUUGUCCUGGGCAGGAGACUGACGAGGAAUAUUCAUUAGAUGAGGUGAUUUACAGGAGUAAGACCGGGGCGUUGUUGGAUGUUCAGCAUGAUAUUGAGGCUUUGAGGAGGGCUGGAGAUGGGAAUUAUUGGAAGAAAUUGUUCGAUUCGAGAGUGGGGAAGACGACGUGGCCGUAUGGCUCCGGAGUGUGGAGCAAAAAGGAGUGGGUGUUGCCGGAGAUUGAUGAUGAUGACAUCGUCAGUGUGUUUGAAGGAAAUUCCAACUUGUUCUGGGCUGAGCGUUUCGGUAAAGAGGUGCGUGUUAUUACAUUUCUGAAUUUCUAUUAACGUCUAAAAUUUUUCACUUGAAGUGCUCGUUGGAAUACCAAAAAAAAAAAAAAAAAAAAAAAAAAAAAUCAGGACAAAUCAGAUUCAACAAGUCUCGGAUGGUUUUGAUGAUCUCAUUCAUUCCAGGAUCCUGCUUAAGAAUGUUCAGUUAGUCUUUCUGCGAAACCUAUUUUGUGGUGUUGAAUGUCAGAGAAAUGGUGACACAUUGAGAUUUACCUCUACGUUUGUAGCUGUGGUUCGUUCUUAUUCAAAAUUACAUUGAACUAACUAUGAACGUCUAGGUGUUCCGGAUCUGAAGAGAUUAUGAGGGUAGGUUGUCAGUUUGGCUCGCGAGUCUAUGCCAGUGUUUGUAAUCCUGAGCAACAAUUUUUAGCAUGGAUCACUUGAAUUUGGGUUACACAAGAUUGAAAGGGUUGAGCGCAGAUACUAUUUUGGGCAACGGGGAAUUCAUGCUUUUUGACAUGUCCCCCUCAUCAUAGUUGUAGUUUUUAAACCUCCUAACAGUGACAGAAGGUAGUUAGUUGGCUCCUCUAGACACAUGUCUAUCUGUGACACACUUCAAUUCCUUUUCUUUUCUUUUCGUUUACUUAAGGGGUAGUCGACGUAUUACAGUGCUACGAUUUUGGACAAGAAGUACUACAGGAAUCAUCACGUGUAGCAGCCAUAGGGUCACACAUUUUUAAUAUUGCUUCUCAUGUUCUCUUGUAAGUGAGGUAUUGUUACUCAAACGUACAUGUGGCAAACGUGAUUUUUGUAAUAGGGAACCUGUCUGUCUGUCUGUCUCAGGUAUUUCCCACAUUCACCUUUUACUGUUGUGGCGGUGUUGCAGGCACUGAACAUGAGUGAUUUGUGGGUGAAGCACUGCGGUAUCAGCCAUACAGGUUCAUUUAAGGACCUUGGGAUGACUGUGUUGGUCUCUCAGGUAAAUAGGUUGAGAAAGUUGGGUAAGCCUCUUCUGGGCGUGGGAUGCGCCUCAACAGGGGAUACAUCUGCAGCUCUUUCAGCAUACUGUGCAGCUGCAGGAAUUCCUGCCAUUGUCUUCCUACCUGCGAACAAGAUUUCCAUAGCUCAACUGGUGCAGCCAAUUGCUAAUGGGGCCUUGGUUCUGAGCAUGGACACAGAUUUUGAUGGUUGCAUGCGGCUCAUCAGAGAGGUGACUUCAGAGCUACCCAUCUACCUCGCAAACUCUCUCAACAGUCUUCGACUUGAGGGCCAGAAAACUGCCGCCAUCGAAAUAUUGCAGCAAUUUGAUUGGGAGGUACCAGACUGGGUGAUUGUACCUGGAGGUAACCUUGGAAACAUUUAUGCAUUCUACAAGGGUUUUUACAUGUGCAAGGAGUUGGGCUUGGUGGACAGAAUGCCUAAACUAGUUUGUGCUCAGGCGGCAAACGCGAACCCUCUGUAUAGGGCAUACAAAGACGGUUGGGAAACCUUCAAGCCAGUCAAAGCACUUCCAACUUUCGCAUCAGCUAUUCAGAUUGGAGAUCCUGUAUCCAUUGACAGAGCAAUCCACGCCUUGUCUCAGGUCGAUGGUAUUGUAGAAGAAGCAACGGAACAAGAAAUUAUGGACGUCUGUGCACAAGCAGAUAAAUCUGGAAUGUUUACUUGUCCACAUACAGGAGUUGCAUUGGUCGCUUUGCAAAAACUGAGGGGACGUGGUGUCAUCGGCGCAAAUGAUAGAACAGUCGUUGUCAGCACCGCUCAUGGGCUUAAGUUUACCCAAUCUAAAGUAGAUUACCAUUCAAGUGAACUGCCAGAGAUCACAAGCAAGUUUGCCAAUCCUCCUGUCACUGUGCCUGAUGACUUCGGCUCUAUAAUGGACGUCCUUCGCCAAAAGCUCGCCCUGAGAUGAGGCAAGUCCGCCACUAGAUAUCCGAGUGGCUUUGUAUAGGGUAUGGGUUUUUUAAGCUUUGAACUCUACAGCACAGUUUUCGGAAGCGAUAUAUACUUUUUAUACUGCCUUAAACCAAAUUUGGACCCAGAAUAAGCGGUCCGAAUGUUUUUUCAAGGCUUGAUUAUUUUUUUUAUAAUAACUUCUGCUCAUCGAACGUGGAGUUCGGCUUUCUACACGUUUCUGACAGGGCAGACAGUGAGCAGUGAUUGCAGCGUCCAUUUAUACCCAGAUCCGAAGGAAUAAUUCCUUUUGUCCUCUCUGGGUAUUUAUCAUUGCUGACAGACUUCACGACAACGAGUAGAGAGAGGGAAUCGGAAUUACGAUCUAACGGAAGUAAUUCACUUGUCAACGAAAAGGCGAGAAUCUCAUUUGUAUCCGGAUCGAGAACGCAGGCGCGGUAGGAGCUCUUUCAAACCCGCCAGUGGAAUUGGCCGCAUUAGCGGUGACACCAGCCAAUCUGUGCAGUGGUCAACUCCAGUAAAGUAGCUUGUCAAUUCAACAAUCUAUAAGUGGCUCUUUCAAAAAUGUCAAGCUCGUGGCUACUCCGUCCGUACGGUGCAGUCAGGUGGCCUUGUCAGAAAGACUAUUUCAGAAGCCAAUGGAUUGCGUGUGGAUUUUGUUCCACAAUCCAAUCAAAUAAAGGUGAGCUACAGGAGUUUCAAGUGGAUGUGGCUAACCACACGCUUUGCCAUGAGCUGGGAAUUGCUUUCCUGUCAAUUCAUCCCCCAAGCCAGAGCAUGCUGAGAAUGUGUGUUUUUACCUGCUUUUAUCCAUUUGUCAAGUUUACCGCCCCCAUGUAGUUUGUGCACUUCACUUAUUAGAAUAUUAUAUAGCCUUCCCAAUGAUGCUCCAGACCUGAAUUUGUCAUGGAGAUAGAAUGGAAGGCAGACCCGCAUGAAGAGAAUUGGGACUUGGGCCAAUGAUAUUCUUGUGAGAUUUAAUACACGAGCCCAUCUUGGCUGAGGUGUUCAUAAAGGAAGUUGCUAAUCCUGCCGUAUGUUUACGAUAGUCAUUUUGCAGGGGCUGCGCCAACACACAGCGUACAAAUCCCCAAUAGCAGGAUUUGGCAGAAGAAUUGACACGUAAUAUUUACAUUGCAAGGAAUGUAUGCUUCAAUCCUAGCUGCCAGGAACCAAUUGUAUUUGAUGGUAUACGCCUCAUUAACGUGUCUUGGUCAGUGGUUUACGGGCGUCCACUAAUAAUAUCAUUGUUUUUCCCGAUUUUUAUCUGUAAAGAAUGUGCCGAUAACAACCAGGAGCCGCAAACAGCCACCACCAAAAAAACGAACUGGGUUUCUGUAGUUGUCUCUUACGACAACCAAGGGCCACGGCGACUGGAGUGUGAAUUGUAGAAUAUAACUAUCCGCAAACAAAAGUAAACAAAUAUUUAACAAAUCCCGGGGACUAAGUUAUAAACCAUUUACUUUACUUCAGCAGCACAAGAAGCAGCAUGGCUGCCAACAAUGGGCCCCAUUGCACAUGGUACACGUAAAUUAAGUAGAUACAAACCAUACAGAAAGUCUAAACAAUCUAGCACAUAUGUUCAGACUACUGGAUAGGAAUUGCUACAUAACCCUGCAUAAUUAUACCUAAUAAACAGCAGUAUAACUGAAACGUAGUACCUCACUCUCAAUCGAUAUCACAUAAUCGAGUAGCACGCAGUAUUAUUUUUGUACGAUAUGCGCGAGAAAAAGCUACCUCAGACACAUAGUAUUUAACUCGCAAUGUCCAUAACAGUAUCACCUUCAACAGCUGAGAGUCCCAAACUUCCAGCAGCCUGUUGAAAAUCAAAUCCACAGAAAGUGGGAUCAAAAUGCUUCCACAGAGAAUGGAUAGAAAUUUAUUAUCGCUUCAAGGCCAAAAAAAUAUACGAUGCGCAUCAAUUGUGUACUGCUAAGGGGUAUGAACCGAAGUAUAACACAAGCGUUGUAGUGUAUGUGACAAAGAACACAUUAGUACCAACAGCAAUCACUAGCUCAGAUAGUUUAAAAGUUUCCGUUGUCAGAUUAUUGGAGCCCAAGAAGAUUACCUCUUUGAGUUGGGCUGUAUUUUGAAGGAGCUUCUGGGAGCCAGACUUUCUUCUGCAUUGCCACAGUCGCAUCUUGACCGUCGCCCAAAUUAUGGUAGUUGCCCAGUUCCAGGUUGUGUACACCAGAAUUCGACAUGUACAUGCUUUUACUCGUUUUGGAGAUGCUGUCGCUCAUAAGCCGAGAUUCCCUUGGUGACCUUGCCUCAGGAGACGGUGAGUGGACCAAGUCUCCGGGCCCUGCAGAAACGGAACAGUCCUGAGAAUUGGAGAAGGUUUAUAUGUGUCGGACCAAAACAAUUCGCAAGUGGCAGCCCUUACUAGAUGUGAAACAAUUUAACUGUGUAAGGUUAACAAAGUUUAACAACAGCACAAAGCAUAUUUUGAAAUCCAACCUGGAGAACGACCUGACUUGUCGGAAGUUUUCACAGUCCGAUACAUCUGCACUCACCCAAAACAACGGAACAUCCUCAGAACUCCAAGAGGGCACCGAAGCUGAGUAUUGAGUCAAUGGAACGAAUGCAUCGAAAAUGACAGAUGAGUCAAUUCACAGACCUGUAAGUGGCUCUUCACAUGAGCCAGGGUAAGGUCUUUCACGUUCAUCAGCUCCAGAACAGAUUUCGGUGUUGCUCCUGCGUAAAUAUUAAAAUAAGUAACAAUAAGAUCCGAGUCUUGAAGAGCCGCAAAAUGAAAGGGAUUACAGAGAAUUCAAAACUUUAAUUUAUUACAAGAUAGCUGAAUAGUGUUUUCACACUUAAAUCAGUUUCAAACUGAAUCCCUAUUGCUCUUACUUUCAUGGCCACCAAGGAGCUCCACCGCUUGAACAAAGUAUGCAUGCAGGGCAGUAGUCCACCUCAUCCUCGGAGCUCGUAUCGAGCGUUUGCACGGUGACUUAAGCGGAAAGCGAGAACGAAAAGCAAGGUUCGCAUAAAUACCCUCCUGUUUAGCACUGUAGCCCUCCCUAAUAUUACCAGAGAAAGUUGAUGGAUUCCCAGGCAAUGUCGAGGCUUGCUGGCCAGGGCCGCCCUUCUCAACACGACGGGAAUUAUCAUCGUCAUAACCGUAGAAAUUCGGGAACCUUGGGCCAGGCUCCCUUUCACCUACAUGAUAGUUCCCCAAUUUCAAACAGUCAGGUCUGGACAAACCGCCCGAUGGCACGACAGGAUCGCUCAGCCUACCCAAUGAAAGCUCGUGAAUGACAGAAGGCGAAGGAGCUGGCGGAAACACUCUCUGCUGUAAAGGAAGGUGAUCCAUAUAAUUCUCAUUCAACCUCCUGGAGAAAUCAUCUUGGAUCUCGCCCGUGAACAUCCUCCGAAAGUCCUGACGCACCCGUUCAGAUGGUGAGCAUGUCCUGUUUGCAUCUGUGCCAGUGUAUUUCGUCUCUGACCUGCUGUCCAUGUCCAGCAAGAAAGGAUGGGCAUGGUCACUACCCAGAUAUCGAUUUUCCUGUAUGUUCAUUUGCACUUCUUCCAUGCUUCCAAGGGUCAUACCCUUUGGAGCUCGUUUGAGAAACGGUGGAUCGGAGGGUGGGGGAUUCGCCAGACACAGUACAGUGGAUGCUCCCACAUUAUCCAAGUAGGAAGAACAUCGCUCAAUUCUGGGGCUAGAGGCAUUGCUCUCACUGUCAGCGCAGGAGCUCAUAGGUUUCGGAGACUGUCUCCAAAGAUCGAAGCCAUGGACAUGCUCGGGUAAAUCUUGGUUAACAUUCUGCGGUAGACAGGUUCUAGGCCGUGUGUCGCUGCUGCUAUUCGGUGGGCUGAUGUGAAGCGCCAAAUCAGGGCCAGGGGGGUUGGUGGUGGAUCUUGAUACAGUCAUGGGAUUAUCUAGGCUAGACUCUUGCAUUGUAAGCUGGCAGGUGAACUUCUCCUGCAGCUGGUCUCAAUGCAAAAGGUCAACUAGGGAGGGACGGAAGACGGAAAUUAUUCUUGGUCAGGAUAAGUCGAGUAAUUUCAGGAGAUCCUCAAAAAUAAAGCCUGAGAUAGUGGCCAGGGAAAAUGUGCCUCAACCGUAUGGAGGAGAUCGCACCACUCGCAGACUGUGAGGAAAGUGAAGGCACCUCAGAUGACGAAUAAAGACGUGAAUGCCACAGGCACCUCCACACUCCAUUCUAAUUCACACAAAAUGAAGCCUUUGUAGGAGAGAUCACGAGCCACAAGUGGCUAGAAGUGUGGGAAUCGAGAAAAAAUCAGGAACAACUCGCAGAGAGUAGGGAAGAAUCCUUCAUGGACUAGGAGAGUCAGGUUGAAGCGUCCCCAAACCAACCAGCUUGAAAAUCCUGACGAAGUCUGAAAAAAAAUCUAACCGAAAUUCCUACCAACGGCAACAAAUUUGGACGAAAGUAUUUAAGCUGUUCUUCCCCAAACCUUCAGCAGCUCAAAGACUCGAGAGAAUCUCAAAUAGCCCUCAAGAUUGUAAGAAAGCCCCCCACAAUCUCCACCAGAAAGCUUGAGAUGACGUCCUAGGCAGAAGAGCCGUCCCUACUCCAUCCCGUCUAGAGCGCCCCACCCGCGCAGUAGCAAAGAGGCCAAGCCAAGAAUGACAACGGGGUCACCACGGACAUGAGCAGUGUAGCGACAUUCCGGGAAACCAGUAACCUGAAGAGAGAGAGCACAGAGUGGCGUCUGGAAACCUAGCGACGCAUAGCGCAGAAACCAACAGUAGAGCUUCGUCGUCCCCACACGAAUGGAAUGUUUUGCAUGCGGCCUCACUGGCAGACGAGGUAAGGGGUCACUCAAAUCUCAAAGAGCGGAACAUUCCACAGCACAUUGACCCCUCCCGACAUCCUAGCUGCAAACACCACGUGAGGGAUGACAACAACCCGGUGCAAAGCGAACUCGUGUGCAUCCGUGCCAGUCUUGGAUUCCACACUCAUUCCCAAUCCAAGCCUCUCAGGGAAGAGUUACACGCUCGCUUCCUCCUCCUCUCUCUCCCUCUUCCUCUUCUUCUUCUUCAAAAUCCCUCCUCUUUCAAAAUCCCUUCCUCGCACCCACCCUUCAAACUACCUCCACACUCCACCGAUCUCAACCCCGAAAACUUCCUCCAGUUGCAGAAACCGCAUCGGAAAGCACAGAGACAGCGUCGACGACAAUAGAAGGCGGCAAACAAGCCUGUGAAGCGGAAGACGGUAGAAAUACGAGCGCGAAUCGGAGCGUCAGCAAAAACCACACACACAGCAAAGAACGCACAACAAAGACAAAGCCAGCGAAUCCGAAGAAGAUGAAGAAGAAGAAGCCCUGCGGCCCCUUCUUCCGUGGGGAACCAGGGGUGGAGAACGCGGGAACGGGAUGGGAACUCCGUGUUCCUCUCAUCAUCACCCGUCUACCACUGGCCUCGCAUGGGCCAAUCCCAUCACCCCCCACCCAAUCCUCGUCAUGUGGAUGAAUGUCUUCUUUCGUCUUUGGUUGCGCCUCCUCUGGGUGCCGUUCGUUUUGCGAAUGUUCAUUCAUUUUCGCCGUAAGUUUCUCAUCCAUGGCGGAUGAAUAUAUAUAUAAUUUAUGGAGCUCCAACAAAGUUGUUGAUUAAUAAUAUGACAUUAUAAAAACUAUUCCUACCAUUUACUUCCACAAACUUUUUAUUAAUUAAUUAGUUAUAGUAUUUUGUAUCUGACAAAAAUUAAUCGCCAUGAUUAUAAAGGAAUAAUCUGCAAACCCAUUCACGAGUAAUAUAUGACAACAUUUAGAUUAUUAUUUGUCUUGUCUUGUUAGCAUUGUGUAAUGAAUGCUUUUCGAAUCAGAUUUUAAAAACGUGUAUUCAAAUCAAUUCUAUUUUGUUUCCCUGUUGGGAAAAAAUAUAUAUAUAUAUAUAAAUAUUUUUUUUUAUUUAUAGUUUGAAAAACCAUUCCCCAAGUAGAAAACCUAAUUGGUAUAAAGUUUUUAGACUAAUCCUACUUGAUCAGUAUAUUUUUUCAAGAAAUCUGAGCCAAAUUUUUUUAUUUUUUUGUUUCUGCAUUAUGAAUGGUCAUUUCAAUAACUAUUCUACUUGCAUUAUUAAUACAUUUGUAUGUAUGUGUGUGUACAUAUAUAUAUGUAUAUAUAUAUAUAUAUAUAUGCUCAUCUCUGCAGCAAAAUUUCAUUCAAUUCUUAAAACUUCAAACAUGAUAUCCAUUUAUUAACAUUUUCAUUAAAAAUAUAUAUAUAUAUAUAUAUAUAUAUUAAAAUAAUCAAAUAUAAUUUAUUAUCAUUGAUUUGUGUUUUACAAGCAAGAACUAGUAUGCAAACUUUGUUACAAAAACUUUUAGUAACAUGCAUUUGCAUUCCUAAAAAAUAUAUUUACUUAUGUGUAUAUAUGUACAUAAAUACUAAUAACAAGGUUAAGAAUCUUACUUAAAGAAACAUUAUUAAAGUAGGUACUAAGUUUUGAUUUAUAAAAGAACUAUUGGACGGACAUCACCUUUAGGUUAUCACUACAUUAGCAAGACAUCACCCUUCAUUUUUAAUAAGCAUAAAACAAUCUUGCAUCUUCAUUGAAAAACAGUAUUUAACAUAAUUCCUCAUUCUAACAACACAAUGCCGUUGGAAGCCUCACCUCUCUUUGAUUGUAAACAUCUUUAUAUAACAUUGGGCAAUUGAUAAGAUGGAAGAUUUUUGCAAUGAUAUUGAAGACAACACUCACUUUCAACAAUGAAGUUGUCAUUUGCUUUUAGAUUGCAAUAAUUCUUCUUGCCACAAGAUAGAUUGCAUUAUUUUCAACUAGAUUGUAGAUGUGGCAAGCAUUCACAAUUUUAUGAUCCUAACCAUGAUAUAUUUCCCAAUAUCUCUAAACAAUCACAUAAUAGAGAUAGAUCAUUCUUGUCCUAGUUGUAUUCCUUAGUUAUUGUUCUUUCAUUGUAAGUUUUCAUUGCUCUAGAUGUAAAUAAAAUCAAUCAUUUUAAAUCUCCAAAUGGGCAAUUUUCAUUCUUCAUACAUUCUCCAACUUUGGCAAAGUCUUCUACCUCCAUUAGAGCUUCUUUGAAGGUCAUUUAAAGAUAGAGAUAGGACUUCUAGCGGCAUUGUUUUGUGAGAACAUGGGAUCUUAUUGAAUAAGAUUGUUGGACAAAGAUGGAAGAUGUUUUUACUUUUAUUUGAAAAUGAAGGAUGGUAGCACAAAAACACCUUUAUAAAUGAAAACAAGAUUUAUCAAAAUUCUAAUUUUACUAAUGUUUCUUAUUUACUUGAAACUUAGUUUGAGAUUUAAUAGAUUUUUUGUAUAUAGCAACAAUUGUAUCAAUACUAUAUUAUUUUUAAAACAUAUUUUUUUGUUAAUCUAAUUUCAUUACUUCUACAUACAAAUAUAUUAAAUAUUCUUUUAUUAAAUAUAUGUAAAUUGAUAGUUGUAACAUUAUAAAGUACAAACAUUAUUUUUAGGAGAAAACAUUUGAGAAAAUAAAAGUCAAUAUAUAUCAUGAAUAUAUUUUUCAAAUAAAUUUCAACCAUAAAAAUCAAAUUUUUAUAUUAAAAAUUUAUGAUUUUAGAUUAUAUACAUUUUUUAAUAGAAAAAAAACUACAACGAGUUUAAUAAAUUUUACAAAUUAUUUUAUAGUAUGGAUAACUUAAUUUUAUAAAUUUAAUUUAAUUUAAUUUUUUUACUCAUUGAUUUGAAAUUUAAAUUAAUGGUAAAUUAUAAUUAAAACAUUACCAUACAGAUAUGUAUAAAGACAUUGUAUCUGAAAAAUUGUAAUGUAGUAUUACCAAUUUUUUCUUACAAAACGUGUAGAUUGCAGUGGAUCCAAAUUUAAUCUAUUGUCAAACAUUUUAGAACUAUUUAUCUAUAAAUUAGAAUUAUUGAUUAAUAAGGACAUUAAAAAUGUUGACAAAAAACUAUAAAUUCAUAUUCAACAUUUGAAGUAAAAACAAAUGGAUGCAAAAGAAAAAUAUAUCUCAUCAAUAAAUGAUUCUUUAAUAAACACUAAUGACCAAGUAAAUUCCAUGUUUUAAAAAAUCACUCAAAUUUAAGAUUUUGUAAGUAUUCCUCAUCAGCCUUCAAUUGAAUCAAUGCUUCAAUAUCUUCAUGUAGAGCUGCUUCUUUGGCAAUUCUUUUUGCUUCUCGUUUAUAUUUCUAAAAAAAUGAAAAUAAAAAAUAAAAGGUAUUACACCUGAACUAUUUACUUACCAUAACAUGUCAAGUAUAAUAUGUGAAUAAAUAAUGAAACUUUGUGAUUAAAAUUAAAACAUUAUAAAUUAGAUGCUAUUUGUUUCAUCUUGUUUCAUUUGAAUAAAACUUUAGACUAUUUCAAUUACUUUUAAAUAUAAUUUACUCAUGAGAGUGUACACCCACCAUUUGAUUCAUAAGAAAUUCGGCAUUUCUUUUGUUCAUGUUCAAUACAUCAAGUUCUGCCUUUUUUUCUUCUUCAAUACAAUUUUGUAUGUGUUGUAACACAUGUUCAUCUUCAAAUUGUAAAUCUUUCCUUUCUUCUUCCAAUAACUUAUUUCUCGCCUCAAUCUAAAUAAAUUGGAUCCCAUUUAGUCAACAAAGUAUUCAUCAAAAUUUAUGUUCCAUUUCUUUUGAUUUAAAAAUGUUAUUGAGGUAUAUAUAUAUAUAUAUACAAACACCUAUGCUCACAUGAAAAUUAAAUUACUAAGUGAAACUCCCAUUAUUUAUCUAUAAUCUUAAUAUCAUAAUUCUAAUUAUAUUGAAGCUUUAUGUAUGGGUUGUAAUGUGAAAAUUUCAUCAAAUAAUGAAAAAAUACUAACUUGAAUUUGUCGUGAUUUAUGACAUUCUGCUAAUAAUAAUUUGGACUUUAAUUGUUUUGCUGCAAGAGCCUCAUCAUCCGCCUUUUCUUUAGCUUUCCUAUAUUUUUCUUCAUCUUCUUUGAAUUUCGCUGUUUGAGUUUUAUAAAUCUAUUGGGGUAAAAUAUAAAUUAAAUAGAGACAUUUAAGAAAGUAUAGAAUAUUUUGAUAUUUUACAAGAGUAAAAUAAGUUUUGUAAUUUACAAUCAGUAGACGAAAUAAUGUCGUAAUUAACAUCUACUUUAAUACAAUAAAACUGUACUGGAAAAUUUCCCAAUUAAUACCAACUUUUAAAAUCACUACUUCUUUAUCACAAUUACUUCUAAUAAACUUGUAAUUGUAAUUGUGGUUCAACCUUGUCAAGUUUAUCAAACAUUUCACUUUCAUGGUUUGCUUUUGCUUUAUAUUUGGCGUCCUUUAUUUUAUUUAGCUCCAUGCUUUGCAUUUUUUUCUUUCUAGUAUAAGUUUCAAUUUCUUUUUCAAGCUUUUCAUCCAUCUCUCUUUCUUUAUCUCCUUUACUCUAUAAGUGAACUAGUUCAAAUUAAUCAUAAAAUCCUAAAUUAUUUCUUAAUAAAAAAUUCAAAAUAUGAAAAUGUUAUAAAAUACCAAUGCAUGUAUUAUCAAGUAUUAUUAUGAAGACAAUUUCAAAAAGCCAUACUCCUAGUUUUUUGUUAGAUGCUACUAUUUCUUUGGUCAUUGCCACGGCCAUGUCUUUUUUCCUUUGUUUUUCAGCAUCAUCAAUUGCAUUCAUUUCUGCAAUUUUCUUUUUCAUUUUUUCAUUUUCUAUCAUGGUUUCUUCUUUCUCCUUUUUUUGCUUCUUGUGAACUUGUUCAAGCUAAUACACAUCACAUCCAAAAUCACAAAAAAAACAUUGUGUAAAAUUAAUUGUAAUAAAAUGUCAAGUUUAAGUAGCUUUGGAUUGUGCAAUGACAUAACCAAUGUAUUGUGUAUUUUGUGGAAAAUUUCAGUAUUUUAUUAAUGCAAAAAGAAAAAGUAAACAUUUGAAAGAGGUCCUGAAUUUUAAUGUGAAAUUUGAAAACCUGUUCAUUUUGGGCUUUUAAUAACAAUUGGGUUGCUUCAUAAGCUUUCUUAUUUUUAAACUCCUCUUCAUUAUCAUACUUUGAUAAAUUUUUUAGCAUUUCAUUAUGGUAGUAAGCAUCUUGAUCGGCCCACUUUUGUUUCCAUAUUUUUUGAAUCUUACAUUGUUCUGCACGCUCCUAAUUAAUUUGUCCAAUAAAUGUUUUUCUAAAUUUAAAAUAUGAAUACAUGCAUGUAUAUUUAUACAUAAAUUAUAAAUAUUCCAAUUUUUCUUCCAUUAUUACAUAAAAUACACAAAAAAAAUAUUACAAGUUACAUUUAAAUACAUUUAAUGACAUUCAUUAAUUCUUUAUAAUUAAAAAUACAGAUAAUGGUUUAAAAGAUGUGUGUGUGGAUAUAUAUAUAUAUAUAUAUAUAUAUAUAUACAUAUAUAUGCAUACUUAUAAAUUUGCAUAACAUUGAAAUUACUUUCAAAACAUCAUUUAUCCAAGCCUUUGAUUGAAGUGAUUUCACAUGCACUCUUUCUAGGAGAAAAUUUGCUUUGUUAAUCUGUAUAACAAAAGUGUUAUCCUUUCAAUUAAUCAAAAACUCAUGGUAAUUGCAUCCAAAUUUACCACGUAUAUAAUUCCAAAGAAUAGCACACAAUACUUGUGAGAAUUUCAUUUUUUAAAUCAUAGAUUUUCUUUUUAAUGUGAAUAGUGAUUAAUUUUGCAGAUAAAUUGAAAAAACUUAUAAAAUAGAUAUUAGAUCAUAAAUAUCAUCCACAAUCUAAUUAAAUAAGAUUCGAGGACAAGAAUUUCUCCAUGCACACCAGUUUUAUCUAUGUUACGAUUUUAGAAAUAAUGUUUUUUGCUCAAAAUGCACAUUAAUAUUCUUUAAAUUAGAGUAUAUAGAAUAAUUCCAAACUUUAAAUUCAAUCGAAAGACUUAAUUUAGGGUGUAGUUUGUCUUUAUUUACAUUAUACCUAAUCAAUGCACAUCGAAUAUUUAUCCGUUGUUUUGACUUUUGCAUGAAUCAUUGUAGUUAUCUUUAGCUUAUUAUUACAUUUAUGCAAUCUUUGCUAAUCACACAAAAUUAAUCAAAAUGCUUCAAGAAAGAAACAUUUGUCGUGUUGAUUAAAUUUAAUCAAGGUUUACCUUUUCAAGUCGCUCUUUAUGUCGAAUAGCCACAUUUUCCUGAUCUAUCCUUAUCAGAUCGUCCUACAUUAUUUCAAUUCAUGUGAAUAUUUUGAUAAACUUAGGAUUAUAUAUAUAUAUAUAUAUAUAUAGAUGUGCAACAAGCACAGGGUCUGUGUAUUGUAAGCGCAUGACAAAGACUCUGUAUUGAAUUUCAAACCGUGUAAUAAUUGUGAGAUAUGUUUUUUUUAUAAUAAGUACUUUCUGUUCUUUUUAUUUAGUUUUUUCUCUUAAAGAAUUGCAUAACAUUACAUUAUUGGAUUACUUCUUCUUUCUUCAGUCUGUCUUGUCUUGCUUUUUCUCUCAAUAAUCGUAGAUUGGCAAGUGUAUUUGGCCAUUUUGAAGCUCUCUCUGCUGAUAUUUUUCUCAAUCUUUGUUGCUAUAAUGUCAAAAACAUUUUGCAAAAACCAUUUUUGAUGCAUUCUUGUAGCAACAAAAUCCAAAAACUAUGCAUAUAUAUAUAUAUGUAAAAUUCUUGGAUUCUGUUAAUAGGAGAGUAUAUUUGUUUGUAUAAUAGGGUUUUUUAAUUAAAAUUAUAUAAAUUGGGUGAGUAUCAUUUGUAUAUAUAUUUUUUAAAAAUCCAUACCUCUGCUCUAAAAGCAGCUAAGGGAUUGUCAUGAAGGUCUUUUUGAGCAAGUCGUAAAUAUUCACUUUCAGGUAUUUCAGUGGCAUUGCAGCAGGAAUGAUGUUUGAUUGUAUGUGCCAUAAUUCUUCAAUGUUGUAUAACUUUAAGCCUCAAUUAUAUUAUAAAUUGUUUUAGUGCCAAGCACUGGCAUUAUAGGAGUAAUUUUUUUAUAUUACUUCUAAAAUAUAUAUAUAUAUAUAUUAACAAUUACAUUCCAUAAUUUAUUCACUUGUGUAGGUAAUUCUAACUUUUGAAGGCUCUCUCAAACACACACAACACACACAAAUAAAAGGUACUAUAUCUUGCAGUGUUUGUAAAUAAAGAAAAGACCUAACUUAAUCAACAUUUUUGGACUCUGCUCAUAAAUUACAUAUAUGAUGUUAUUUUUACAAAAAAAACUUUUGUUUUAGGGGGAAUAAACCGAUUGUUGAACAGAAUAUUCCAAUAAUGAUAGAUGAUCUUUUACAAUAAGUAUAGUUUGAAAAAAAAUAAAAAAAAUAAACUAAUCAUUUGAUAAACACAGUUAAAAUUCCUUUGUUAGGUUAAGAAUACAGAGUCUUUUUUCAGAAAAGAAAUAUAAAAAAAGUUAAAAAAUAUAACUUUUUUUUUCUGCUUACAUGAAAAGUUAUUUAUUAAUACAUUUUACUACCAUUGUUUCAAAAUUGAUUCUUUGAGAUUGAAUUCCCAUUUACACUUAUUUAUUUCUUUGUUUAUUUGAAUAAGAGUACUGUGGGUACUGCAAGAAAAGAAAAAGAGAAAAAAGAAAAAAAUCACAGUUGUUUAAUCAUUACUCUGGUUUUGUAAAAUCUUGUUUUGAGUACUAUAAUUUAUAUUUGAGGAAAAAAGAAAUCAACAAACAAAAGAAAAGAAAACAUCUUUAGAAAAUUUUGUUGGAUAUGUUGCAUAAAUAUAAAAUAAAAUAACUACAUUCUAUGUGAACAUAGUAAUUUUUGCUUAAGGUUUUUAUUCAAAAACAAUCAUAGUACAUAACUAUUAUUAAAAGACCAAUAUAUGUAGAUAUGACUUGUUUUUGAAAAAUAUGUUGGAACAUAAAUGUUUUCUUCAAAUAAUUUUACAGAAACUCCAAAAAUACUCAAAGCUACAAAUCAUUAGACAAGUGUUGUAAAUCACAACAAAUACUUUACACAAACUGAAAUUGCAAUGAUGGCAAUUUGAAGAACUACAGUUAGGUGAAUCAAUAUAUUUAUUAAUCAUAUUUUAUAGAAUAAAAUUACAUCUUAAUUUAAAUUACAAUAAAAUUCACUAAUUUUUAAAUUAAAGAACAUACAUUACAUGAGUAUUAUUUGAUUAUUAUUGUACACACACCCGUAAUGUCUACGCACAAAUCCAAGGCAUUUAACAUGAUUUGUGCACCAAAACAAGGAAGAGGGUGAAGAGGGUGAAGAGGUCCAAGACCCAUGCAAGACAAGGUGGAGUGUAUGUAUAUAGACAUUAUGGGUGUACAUAUAGCAAUUUGGGAUGUGCUUGUAGUGGAAGCCAUAUUAUUUUGGAAACUAAACAACUAUUUUGAGUAAUUUUGUAGUAUUUUAACAAAUUCAUGCAAUUUUUUUUUAUGUUAAUUGAUUAGAGUUUACAUUAAAUUUAUUUUGCAAGAUAUUCAUAAUAUUUUUUUUACAAAAUUAAAGGCUUAAAAAUAUGGUAAAAGUGUGUAGAUAUGAAAAAAAUACCACCGUUUUUUUAAUACCAAGAUAGGUAUCUUGAUAAAUUUCUAAGGUUCAAGAAAAAAUAAUCAAAAUGUCGUAUGCAUACUCUAUAGGGUGUCAUUUUUGCUAAUGUUAAUCACACAUGCAUUACUUCUAUUCUACCAAUAGAUUUCAAACAACAAUGCUCAUUAUUUUCAAACAAACAUCACAAUAAAUAUAACAAAUUCCUUGUUUUCAAACAACCUUUAUACACGACACAAACAACAUGUCAUUUCAUUUUCCCCUUCACCAACGUUACAAAGUAGGAUACUAAGCCUCACCACAAGGAAAUGUUAAACCUUCUUGACAAGUCCCAAAACAAAAAAAUAAAAGAAAAAAAAGAGAGAAAGUAGAAGUAGAAGUAGAUAGAUGGGUAUUGCCAAUCUUAAGAGAGAGGCUCGUCUAAUUUAUUUAGAAGGACAUCCAACUAAUUUUAGAAGGGAUCCCUCCAAACUAAACUUAGAAAGACACUUCGAAAUACAAGGAGCAAGUGUCGGUAGCAUGUGCAAAUCAAACCAAUGUGGGAGUAAUCUGUCCACCGAGACACAGUCUUAUUCUUAGGGUUUCGGGUUGAAAACAUCAAUCAUUUCUUUUCUUUCUCUUUUUUGUGACGUAUAGAUAUUCCUUAUGAAACCACCAUGUCUGUGGUAAUUUUAUUUGCACUUUUGGCUUUAUUUGGAGUUGUAGAAUUUUGGGUAUUCUAACUGUUCUUACACAUGUUUCCUUUUCUUAGCAACUGCAAGUUGUAAGUGUCACUUCGUGGUUGUGCUUGUCUUGAGCAUAUUCUGGAUAUUUUUAUAGAUAAGAUGCAAGACAUAACUAUAUAUUUUUAUUGUUUAUUAUUUAUACUAACUUCUUUACUUGUAAAUAUAUUGAUUAUACCUCUAACCAAAAUUAGAUUUUAAUAUGACUCAUUAACAAAGAAGAAAAAAUAAAUAAAUAGAAACCAUCGUGAAGUUAAUAAUCAAUAUUACUCUUUCUGUAAUAUUUUGUACAGAUUAACAUGGAAGUAUCAUUCAUUUAUGAUUGAUAAAAUAUAUUUUUAUAAAUAAAAUAUAUGCAAACAAAUAUAUGAAAUAUAUGAAAUAUAUGAAAUAUAUACAUGUACUCACACCCACCCACAGUUCUUUGUAAUAAAAAAUCCAAAUAAAUUAUUAAUAUAAUUUGUAAAAAUACAUUUAUAAAAUAUAAAUAUUUUAAUUUGUGUGGUAUUAAUGGUAGCAUGUUCAUUACAGAACUUAUUAAUUAAUUAAACUAAACUCAUCACAUUAACCACUUUGAUUCUAUACUAAAAGUUGUUUUUAUGAUCUCUUUAUAAAAAGGAGUGUUAGAAUUUUAGAAUUUAACGUGUAUAAAAUAUAUAUAUAUAUAUAUAUAUAGUACAACAUACAAUAUUUAGUGCUAAAAAAUAGUCAAUCAAUUCUAGAGUCAUUUUUCUCAAUGUCUUUUUAAAUAUGCUUUUCAUAUUUAUAACACUUCUUUUUAAAAAUUCUUCUAUUAAUUUCAUUUUUAUAAAUCAUACAAAUAAAUCUAUAAAAUUGCUUGAAUGUUAUUUGAUGGAUUUGGUGAACAUGUCAAAGUAACCAAAGAUACAUAUGCUCUAUAGUUUAACCACAAAAUUGCAACAAAGUUGGAUAUAAAAUAUUCAGAAUUAAAACUAAACAGAUAAAUUUCCUCAAUUAUUCCAAAAAAUCAUACCAAACAAACCACAUGCUACAGUAAAAACUUGUAUAUAUAUAUAUAUAUAUAUAUACAUAUAAUCUGAAAGUUAUUCUAUUCGGGACUAAGUGCAUGAAAUUACACAUGACAUGAAAAUCAGCCAUCAAUGUAAAACUGCACAUCUAAUUUUUUUUAUUGCUCACCUGCGCAAAUUUCUACAAAAUAUUAACCAUUGUUCUGUUUUAAACAAUUCUGAAGAUGUAAUCUUUAAGUUGUCUUUGACAAAAGAUGAGCCAUUCUAGAUUCAAUCCAUGUGGUCACAAUAGAUAGAAAGUUAUUUACAAAUGCAUCCAAUUUGUCAAUAAAUCCAGUAAAUAAUCAUUUUUAAUACUUCUUCUACUGCUAAUUAUUAUUAUUAUUAUUAUUACAUAGACACACACAAUAGAUUUGUUCAAUUUCCAACAACUACUGUGCAUCAAGAAUUUAUGCAUCUUUUAUUAGAAAAAUAUACAUACACUAAUUUAAGGCAUUUCAUAACAUCAGGUACUUCAUCUUACAUAAAUUAUUGAAUGAAUGGAAAAAGGAAUUAUUUUUCAAAAAAAAGUUUAAUAAUAUUAGUAUGCAUUUGGAUAGAGAAAUGUGGGCAAUGCGUUGAAUAUGAUGAAAAGCGACAACUAGUUUUUUAUAUAAAGCAUCUUUUUUGUUUUGUUAUGGCAUGGUAGAUGUGUAGUGCAAUGCUCCAUCCACAUAGUAACAUAUGAAGAAAUAUAAUGUAAAUAUUCCAACAUGAGCCACAAGCUCGCUAAAGUAUAUAUGUGCUAAAUGUCAAAGUUAAGAACUAAGAUUCAACAUCAUACAUGGUUGGCUUGAAACCUUUGGACAUGAAGCCAUUUAUUCACAAAGAAUAAUAGUACAAUUGAUGCUUUAUUAUUUAGAUUGUCCUUGGAAUAUAUUUUCUAUCAUUAGCUAUCAUAAUCUAACCAUGUAACUAAGGAUAAUACAAGAUGUUAGUCCCUUAAUGCCCAAACAAACUACUUGUAAAUGAAUUCAAAAUAAAAAGUCAAAAGAAUGACAAGAUUAUUAAUGGUGAUUUAAUGCAAGAGCCUAUGAAAUUAGAUUUAAAAUUUAUAUAAAUAUUAAAACAAUAAUCUAGUCAUGCAUUUGACUUAGGGCAUCCAAUUAUUUACUCUACUUCUAAAAGAGUUUUAUUUAUAUGUAUAUUACAAUUGAAUCUUAAUGUGAAACUCUCUUCUUAAAGUGCAGCUUAAGGCACACAUAGCUAGAUGCAAACAUCAUAAAAUACAGACAGAAUUCAUACCCAAUAGAAAUCAAUUCAAAGAUUUCAGCAAAAUCCUAGUCUGGAGAUGAGGGAUAUGGAAUGUCUAGUUAUAAAAAUACAAACAACAAUUGCUGGGUAGUUAGUAUAAUAAACUUAAUCGUUUUCUUCCUGUGAAAAAUAUCUCUGUAGUGAACAAUGGAAAAAGUGUAAUAUAUGUGUAUAUAUAUAUAUAUAUAUAUAUAUAUAUAUAUCACAACCAUUCAGAAUUGUGCAGAAUGGUGCAGUGGUUUUUGUGCAACAUGUGAGUCUGUUUUUCAGCAGCCAUUUAACAGUAAUAUAUGUUUGAGUAUGCAGUACCAAAAGACCAUGACAAUGUUGUUGCCAACCCUAUUGCAGAGAACUAAUCUGCUAUGCAAGUCUUUAAAAAUGUUGAUAGAAAUUAAGCCAAUGUGUUAGUCCUGAAACAUGUACUAGCCAAAAACUUUAAAUAUUCCAAAAAAAAUUAAGAGGAGCUUUCAGGAUAAUAAACUUUGCAUUGGCCAAUUUUUUCAACUUCAUCUAAAUCUGAAGCUUUCAAGUGUUGCCACAUAUUCAGUGCAAGUCCAUUGAGAUUCACAACAGCAUCUCACCUGAUUGUCAAGUGAGACAUUUGGUAUUCACUAUCUUUGCUAAAGACACAUGCUUUCUUUGUAUGAUUCAAGAAAUAUCAACAAUGACAAUCCAGCAAAGAGAGGAUGCAGAGGGAAUUUGAAUCAUAUUUCUGCCAUAUUUCUAACCUUAACAGGCUUUGAACUUUGAACUUCACUACAUCACAGAUCAUUGCUUGCCUGUGUUCAAGUACAUCUGUGACUAUCCAAAUAUGGUCUUUGUGCAUUUUCAUUCUUACCUCUGGCAGAGCUUACUAUCAAAUUUGAGGUUCCUUGGCUUGUGAUCCAACAAGAAUAUUGGAGUAGAAAUGCUUGACCACAAAUACAAUCUCAUUUGAACUGCAGCAGUGUUGCAUUAUGAUGCUAAAUGGAUAUUUGGUGGACUCAAAGCCAAGAAUAUCAACUACUAUCAAUGAUCUCAUACACUGAUCAAGCUUUAUGUCCAUGUCUAGCAUAAGAGAAUGUAUGCCUUUGCAAGAGCAACAAUAAAGAAAGAUGACAUGAUCAAGUCAGAACUGGAUACCUUUCAAAUCUUAAUACUCCUGAUCUGUCGUUACUAUUAGAUCACAAGCCAAGGAACUCCAAAAUUGAGUAUAACCUCAGCCAGAGGUGACAGUAUUAAUGCAUAAAAGAAUCACACCUAGGCUGGAACUUGCCCAUGAAGGCACAUUGACCAUGUUUGGAAUACCACAAAUGCACUCAACCACAUGCACUCAGAAUCAAUGAUCCGGUGAAAAUCCAAGCUUGUUAUGCUUAGCAAAUGGCAGAAAUAAAUCUAAGUGUUAGACAAAAAUAGUAGAAUAUCAGUCAAGUAUUAGACGAAAAUCUGGUAAACAUGGAUACAUUGUCAAACGCUGUUAUUCCUUUAACCCCCUGAGCAUUCCAAGGGGUACUUGAUUCGUAGAAAACGAUUUCCUGAACAUGUAUUUUAACUUACAGGCAUAGGACAAUAGUUGGCACCAGAAAAUUUAAACAACACGUUGCACUGUUGCUGACACUCUUGAAACCAGCAAUAAUUCCCCGCGAACAAUCAGUGAAGCUCUUCAGAGUGGAAGUGCCACUUCUCCUCUCCAUCUUGCUUGAAUUUUAUGACCUGACCUCCUGGAGAAUUACCCAGUCUGUCAAGAUUUAGUAACAAAAGAAGAUGUGGAUAAACAAUCACGGACAACGAGGACGGGAACUAUUGUACACCAGCUCAUGCAGGUUUUAUAUCGUCAAAUCUGAAAAUAUUUCCUAGCACAAAGCGAUUGUCCCCUAAAGACAGUUUCAUAGUCAUGUUGUCUCGAUGAAUUAACAAUCCAGACUGUGGCAGUCGACCACGUUCUUCUAACGACGUCCCACACCUCCAUGACCUGUGUAGACCUGACGAUCUCCAACCACCCUUGCAUCCGAACAAACUGACAAACCUCAAACCCCCAAACUGAUCAACCUAAAAUCCUCAAGGCCAACAGCAUCCGUGAACGAUCACAUCAUGCAUGGAAAUCUAGCGUAAAUGUCCAAAUGCGCUCACUCUGCCUCAGAUGCAUCGAUUAUACACAAAUUCAACAAUGUAGGAAAGACCGGCUGACAUACAUGGCUUGCGAACCCUGGGUUUCAUUGGUUACCUGUGUUCCACCCCCUCUUACUAAGAGGGAGUGAAAGUGCAAUCAGUAACUUAUAUGCUGCCCUUACAUUCCCAGUCCCAUGGAAAAGAGUGGCAUUCGUCCCAAGUCCUGCAAUUUCCAUGAGGUAAAACAUCCGAACUGAUUUCCACCGGUUAAAGAAAGAGGCCACAAUACUGUCGGCUACAUUCCUUCAACAUCUUCGGCUUAGGAGUUCUCAGGCUGUUAAGCAGGUUCCCUUGACGAUUCCUAAGUCUCUGAUACUCUGAAGUACUCUCUUCUCGCUCUAAAAGACAAGAUUGUUGAUCUGAGUUAAUCCAGAAGGUUUUAGAAGGUGAUGGCGACUAGCGAUUGGGACAACAAGAAAUUGACUAUGAAACCAACGCAACAUUAUAUCCAGAUGCGACACAUACAGCAAGCCCAACAGACAUGCAUCCCGACAGCUCAACAGCCAUUGAAUACCAAAUCUGUCAAAAUACACUUGAUGGGUAGAAGCACGUGAUAGUAUUAUCCAGAAAUGGUCCUCUACACCAACUCAAAAAGCUUGACUGUCUCCAGCAAGGAGUGUUCUACCAUCUGUGACGUCUGUACAGUUUCCUGAUCACAAAUUCAUAAGAACAACAGAGGAAGACUACGCUAGAAAAGGUUGACUCAAUAUUGCAGGUAACUGAAGAAAAAUCUCAUUUUUACAUGAGUACACAAAAAAAAAAGUCGAAAAUACAGGCGGAGGUCACGGAAACGAGCAGAGCCUCCUACUCCAGGAACAAUAGGGCCAGUGCACUUCUAAGUGCGACAGAGGACCGUUGAAGGACUAGAAAUCAUUGAGGACUAGCCUUGCUGGUAUUUGGCGUCUUAUUUGCAAGACUGGUUCCUUUGAAUUUUGCAUUUAUACUCCUCAAAUCCACCAAGUCGUCGAACAACGUGUCAGGUGAUUUCAAAGGCUUGGAAGAUCCAGUAUACUUUUGUGAUGUAGACUGACCAUAUGCACUUCCUCUUGAGUUAAGAUACUGACUACCAAAAUUGUCACCAGGACCUGUCCCAGAGCCAUAUCUAGAUAAAUCAUUGGAAGCUGGAUGACCUUGGUAAGCCGAUUGAAAUGACUGCUGACCUGGACUCGGCUGGAUUGCGUAACCUGUAUACCCUGCUCCCGGGUACUGUUGCAUGCCAGCCAUAGCUGACUGCUGGCCUGCAUUCCACAUCUGGGGUGCGUACGGGUACGAAGCCUGAGGAGUCCCUUGCCACUGCUGAUCUGCUGGUGGCGCCUGCAUAUCCUCUUGCCAUGGAGGUGGAGUUGCGGCUACUGGCUGUUGCGGAUAAAUAUAUUGCGGGUUUUGCAAUGGCUGUCCUGAAACUGUUGGUUGUGUUGGAACCUCACCAUAUAAGGAACCUUGCUGCGUCUGAUUGCCAGCAGCAGAAGUAUUAGACCAUGAAUUUUCUGAACGUACCACUGGUGUUGCAGGUUGCUGUUGGAAACUCUGUGGAGGGAAUGCUGGGGUCGGAGCUUCUUUUUGUGGAUUAGCCUGAAAAGGCGAAGACUCAAAAGGAUUCGGAAAUGCCUCAGGUGCAGGCAAAGCCAAGAGAUCCACUGACUGCUUUUGUUGAGGUUGAUCUAUUACUGUCAAAGCCAAAGCAUCAGAGGAACUCGCUUCUGACUGACUAGUAGGUGGGAGAUCGCCACUAAGAAGGUCAAUUGUCGGAUCGGCAGGUCUUGCACUCACCACACUUUGUGAAACAGGCUUCUUACUUGAAGGAGGUGGAGGUAAAGCGACGGCUGAGUAGAUAGUCCGUGCACUAUUCGCUGGUCUUGCAUUAGCCCCUGCUCUUUGAGGUGAAUUUUGAGACGGUGCUCUGACACAAGAAUAACAUGCGCUUAUGUGAUAUCAGGGCUUUCACUAACACCAGAAUUUUUUUUUAAACUUAAGCAUUGUAAAACUGACCAGAAAAUAUCAAAAUAACUAGUACGGCUAAGCAAUAAGAUGAAGCUGCAAUUUUCAGUGUUUACACAACUGUCCUUCGCACCAGUUGCGAAAUUUCCUAUCAACUAAAACAAUAUUCACAAAACGGACUGAAAUGCUGUCUUACUUGGAAGAAAGAAGGGUAUCAUCCCCACCAGAAGGCUUCUGAGGCUGAGUCUUGCUUUCAGUAGAUGUUUCGGGAAUGGGAGCCCCAGACAAGAAAGCAUCGUAUCUGGCAAGCACUCGCUGCAACUCAUCAUUCAAAGCCAGACCCUGACAAAGUAGGUCCUCAUCACUGCACGUGCAACUCACUCGAGUUAAUACGUUAUCGUUUGAAUUAUAUGUAAUUUUAAGUGGAAGAGGUCAGAGAAGUGAAUAAUUAUCUGUAUCAUGAACAGAAUAUAAAGUGGAGAAGGCAUACGAAGAUAUGUUGACGAGCUGCAUGACCCGGCGCUGAUUUACUCGGCACUGGUCCACAAGCUCCACAAUAACCUCCUCCUUGGCAGACUGCACGUAGACCGGGGAAUGUCAUUGAUGACAGCAAAUUGUCAAACUAACCACUUCGGUACGUUAUCCUAUAUCUAUACUUUGUGCACGACUCACACAAUACGGAUAUCUGAGAGAAUAUCUUUGGUGCAUAUCCAGUGGAAUAUUGACGCAGAAAAAGGCAAGGCAAAAUGUCGAUAACAUAAAUAAACAAAAAUACCAACAAAAGUCGAGAAAAAGCCACACAUUACUUUCUAGAAAUAACGGUUGAAGUUGCCUACAGAAAAGGAGCGGUACCAUUCAGAACUCUAACGAGUGAAAAUGUUCAAAUUUGUUACCUCAUUCUACACGUUACCAACUCAAUGAGGCCCCAUUAUGUAAUGACAUCCAACCAAACUAGACCAUUACCUUAUUUUCGGUACAUAAACUAAACCCACAGAAUUGUGAAGGGUGAGAUGCAUACCAUUCGAUCUCGUGGAUUCAGAGCCAAAAUCAUAUCCUGUAAGAGUUCCACCAGAUUUUGCGCAUUUUUAAUGUCCUGCAAGCUGUGACACAACGAAAUGAACUGUGAGAAAAUCAGAGUAAACAAGAAAACACGCACCCCAGAAUGUAAUAAAACAGAAUAGAAUCUAUCAGAUAUUAGUAAAAUCAAACCAGGCCCACAAGAAACGACAUUCAUACCUUCCUACCUGGAAUUGGUGCAAGGAUAAACUCGAACAGCUGCAAAUAUGAUAUAACCCUAUACUAAAACUCAUUGAUUCAGAAAAUACCUCAUUACUGAGGCCUCUGUGUCAUCUGGCCUUGGAGUAGGUGGUGCUGAUGAUCUUGGUCCAUGUUGGUGCAGUGGACGAGGACUAGCGAGAGGUUGUGACUGAGGCGGAGUGAAGAUGGGCGGUGCUGCCUCUCCUGUGCGUCGUGGGAAUUCAACGCCUGCUUUCUGGCAAACACAGACAGAAAAAAAUAAUAAAAUAAUAAAAUAAUAAAAUAAUAAAAAACGAUCAAGGUAUUGCAGAAGACUAUAUGUGUUGAAAUUGGAGGUAAAGAAUAAUUAUGAUUGGAAACAUUCUUAAUAACACAAAGUUGUGACCAGACAUUACUAUUUGAUGAUACAUAGUACAGGAGAGCCAAAACGAAUAACCAGAUCAAGAAGGCAGCCAAACACACUAUUAUGAGAAUUUUAAUCACUAUUAGGAAAGUAAAAACCUAUUCCCACCAGCAAUUCAUUGUAUGCCAUGUAAUACUGUGGGUAUCGACCACUGGCGCCCCCGAAAGCUUCUUGCCACGAGUCCAAUAAAACAAGAGUUUUGUCCCUCACCCGCAUUUCUGCCUGACAAAGCAUGAAGCAAAUACAUACAACCAAUACAUCACUAAUUAGCAUAAUCACCUUGAUACUCUGCUACUUUUCGUUAACCAAUGAUAAGGGGAACUUUACAAAUUCUUCAGCACAGAACAUCUUGUUAGAAAAAAGGAGGUAAAAAGCGCAUGCAACUAAUAUGCAGCACAUGGCAAUCAAACAUAGAUGCCGCCAACAUAUACUAGUAAAUAUCAACAGCAAUCCGUCAACUUACUUUUUUCUUAACAAGCUUGACCAAUUCGUGCAGCACAUCUUUCUCAGCCACUUGCUGGUGCACAUAAUCUCCGCAAUUUUUUAUCAAGGUUUCUAGGACCUACAAGAGAAAUAUCAACCAGCUUAUCAAGUGCUGCAAAAGUACACAGACAUACACACACCCGAAACUAUGACAUCCAAACCUCUUUGUUUAAUAAUACCAUAAGUAGCAUACUGAUAAAGCGCUCAAAAAUCCUCAUGCAUUGAAAAUCCAGCAAGAAUAACCAUACUUUACAGAUUACCCAGAGUGAUGUCUAACUCUAGAAAACUGAAUUGCCAUAACAGAGUAUCACAAGCUGAGUGAGAAGUAGACCGUGAGUGCCAAAAGCUGGACUUGCGGAUUCUUGUUCCCAAGCCGCUUCUUGAGAGCUUUCACUAUUUCUUUUGCUUGUCUGAUACAACACCAGCAUUGAGCUAAAUUAGUAAUCAGUCUUGAUCUUGUCGACUACACCGACCAGACAAAUCAGGUACAACUUCCAGAAAAUGUUCGGUAUUCAUUCCAAGGGGAACAACACCAUCCAGAUGAUUUAUCCACAAAUUGCUUCAUAGAUCAAAGAGCCGAGAACAGGGCCAAGCGUUGGGCCAACUACUACCAUUCUUUGUGUAUCUAGAGAGCUCUAGUAAUAAUUCCUGUACCAGAAAUUUCAUCAAAAAUGGUGUAUUCGCAAUCCAUUGGAACCACAAGAAAUCGCUUCAACUGUACUGGACGAAAAUCCAUAAUGGGCCUACUUAGCAUACACAGUUCAAUCUAUAUUGAAACCCAGAUUUCAGCCUAGAUAUGGGGCACAAAUGCGACUCCGGAGAAUGCUCUAUAAAACUCAGAUUCGCUCGAUCUGGUUUCUUAAUAUCCUGAUCGACCAAAGAACCUACCAAGUAAUUCAGAGACAAUCUUGUUGCUCUUCGUUAAAGAUUAAUCCACUAGGCGCAUGCACCGAAACACAGCAAUCGAAUAACACACACACACAUAUAUAUAUAUAUAUAUAUAUAUAUAUAUAUAUAUAUAUAUUGAUUAAGACUAAGUCCAAGCCGGUAAACCAAAAAACAACAGUCACUGAAAUUCAGUAUAUCCUCAAAAGCACGGUAUAUAAACUCCACAAACACGGAAUAUCACCCAAGCAGCACAAAGUGCGAAAUUAAACAAAAUCAAAAUUCAGUGUUAAAACCCGCG
RNAcentral lists this long non-coding RNA (47698 nucleotides) under Physcomitrium patens. Its description in RNAcentral is "long non-coding RNA (PPAT_LNC011628)". Lineage: Eukaryota; Viridiplantae; Streptophyta; Bryopsida; Funariales; Funariaceae. The record is from RNAcentral.